UAAAGUCCCAAUUCAGCUGAACAAAUGAGUUGAUUUCUAAGGCUGGAAGAGUUCAACGUUUUUAGUAGAUAAUGACUUAAAUUCUCUUCAUUAAAUCAGCCUUGAGAAUCCUAAUGAUCAGCAGCAGCAUUAGUGACGUCUUGGCACACAAAACAGCUUCUUUGGGUAGUGUAAAGUUCAGCCUUGAAGAGAGGAAACGCCAAGCAUGUUGUUGGCCGAAUGGCUACUUGAAAAUACCAACCAGCAGCCCUUUGAUGUUCACGAAAAUAGCACUUUUAAUGCUUCAUGUAUUCUCUUUUCAGCAACUAAUUAAUGGACUUCCCUUGCAUGCUGGACAACUCCUUUAAAACAUGUUCUGCUGUACAUUGAAUUCGGCCAGCCACUUUAAUGCAUUCCAGCAUCUCAUUGAAUGGCCGACUCUUGCAUGCCCAACAGCACCUUAAAUACAUGUCUAUGCUUUACAUUAAAUUCGGCCAACACCUUCUUUAUUGCUGCUGUUGAACAUCACCUUAAAUGCAUGUCUAUGCUUUACAUUAAAUUCGGCCAACACCUCCUUUAUUGCUGCUGAUUUAAUUCAUGUCUUUGCUUCCCUUUAAAUGCCGUUCCUUGCAUGUAGAACAACAACUUAAAUGCAUGUCUCCUUUGCCAUUAAGUAGUUGUUUCCAGUUGAAUUAAUUACCUGCAGACACAAAAUAAAUUCGGUCAAGACAUAAAUUAAACCUCAUUAAAUUCGGCAGCCUCCUUUAAUACAUAAUUAACUCAUGCAUGAACAAACAAGUUAAUUAACAUAUUAAAUUCAGCUGGACAAUAAAAAAAACAACAAUAAAUUCGUCACUUUUAAUGAACUUAAGACACAUUUAAUACUACUCUUUAAUUCGGCUGAAACUAAUAAUAAAAAAAACAUUAAUAAAUUCAGCAUAUUAAAUAGAUGUAAUAAAUAAAACACAAUCAAUUAAACUCAAAAAUUAUUAAAGAUGUUCAGAUUUAAACAUAUUAAUUUACUAACACUUAUUUGAGCUGAAUUAAAUAAAUAAACUAACUUAUUCAAUUUAUUUCAGCAAAUGAAAUUAUAAGAAUUAAAAUAAACUCAAAUUGAGCAAAACGAUCCCAUUGAGCUGGAAACGAGCUAAACAAAGCUCAGUGAGAUGCAAUUGAGCUAAUUUAGCUCGUAUGGGUAGACAAGAAAUACUUAUGGAGCUGAUCGAAAAAUGUGCCUGGGGCGUGGUCGUAUCAUCAUGCAUGAUUCAUGCAUUUUCAAGAUGACCAUUCAAGUAUUUUAGGCACAUUAAUGCCUCAUUCAGCCAAGGGAGAUGUAGGAUCAUUAAAGAGCUGCACAUUCAUGGAAUUAUGGAGAUUCUUCAAGGCUAAGGAUGCAUGAAUGCAUCAAGUGAAGCAUCAUGAUGGUUCGGCCAAUUCAUGUACCAUCUUCAAGCAUGAACUGGAUUUUAAUGCUAUUUGUGUGAACAUGUUAAAUACCUGUGUGAACAGAAUUUAAGUUAGUGUGAACAACAUAGAUGACGAAUAUCAAUAGGCAUUUUAGGCUUAUAAAUAGCUUACUUGUUUAUUGUAAAAGGUUACAGAAUUUGAUUAUUGAAAACUUGAUUGAGAGGUUUCCUCCUAUCCUAUUUCGUAUGAGUCUCGAUCUGACUUAUCUAGUGUGCUAGUGGCGUCAAUCCGAACUCCAUUGAACUUAUCACCUUGCAUUGGUGUGGCGUUCAACCCUUCUACAAUUCCACAAAUCCACCUUAACCAAAUAGAAAUCAGGGUGACACUCUUUAGUGUUGAAUCAUUUCUGGUGUUUAAGUUCACUUAUCCAUCCCCACCGAAUAUCUUAUAUUUUAUCUUUAUUAUUUUAUCCUUAAACCGAGACAAACAAAUUAGCUAUCUUUCUCCAUCCCCUUGUUGUCAAACCUAUCCAUAUCCUACUUACCCCUUUGUGAACUUAUAUCCAUCACUUUACUACAUAUUUUUAGCCGAUUACAAACAAACCAUCCUUUUGGUACGAAACUCCUCAUCGACGAUCGGGCAUCUACGUGAAACGACUCGAUUAACCUGGGCCAGAUCGCACCAUUUGGUAUCAGAGCUUGUCGAAUUAGAGUAAGAAUCGUUUUAAUCGGUAUUAUAAGAUUGUAAAAAAAUCAAAAAAAAAUUCGAAAAAAAUAUUAUUUUGUAUUCAAAACUUUCUAUUGUAUUCAGCAAAGUGUAAAAAAAAGUUCGUAGUUGGAUAGUAAAAGCAUUAUUUGCUGCCCGAGGAACCGUAUCUAUAUAGCCACACUAUUUCCUUCUACUUUUUUUCUUUGUUUGUUAGCCUACCCGAUCCUAAAAUAAUUCCCUACCAAGCCACAUCUAUUUUGUAAGCUGACCCCAAUCGAUUUUGAUUUGUCAAACUUAGUUUGCGAAGAAUUUCGAGAGGCAAAAAUUGAGUGGUAAAAGGCAAGAGAGAUUGGUGAGACUAUUAGAGAGUAGAAAAGCCAAAGUGAGUGAUUAUUCUUUGUGAGUGAUUGGUGAGUUUUUGUUGUGAGUCUUUAAAGAAUUUAAAAAAAAUGUCACAAAGUCCGGAAAGGAAUCCAAAUGAGGUAGGUGGGUUUCGUCCCAUAAGAAAUGUUGGAGGAGGAGUGCCGGAUCUCACUUUGCAAGCCAUUAUGCUAGAAAUGGAGCGAUUGUUUGAUCGCAAGCUUGAACCAAUCGAAGACCGCUUAUAUCGAGUUGAAAUCCGAGGACAACGCGAAGCGACUCCGGAAGAUGCAAGGCGAGAACGAGAGCAACCAACUGACAACUUUGAUGAAGGAGAAUCCGAAGGUGACCACUUGUCUGAACAAGGAAACCUUCAACGGUUCCCACAAAAUCGAGGCCCAAGAAAUUGAGACCGUCCUGAUGACAAUCUCAAAAAUAUCAAGAUGACUAUUCCACCGUUUCAAGGAAAGAAUGAUCUUGAAUCUUACUUGGAGUGGGAAAAGAAGAUGGAACUCGUCUUCGAGUGCCAUAACUAUUCAGAAAAUAAGAAGGUAAAGCUCGCUGCCAUUGAAUUCUCGGAUUAUGCGAUUGUGUGGUGGGAUCAAUUGGUGACUAGCCGAAGGAGGAAUGGGGAGAGGCCUAUCUCUACGUGGGCCGAAAAGAAGGCUGUUAUGCGCAAGCGAUUUGUUCCCUCCUAUUACCAUCGAGAGUUGUACCAACGAUUGCAAAGUCUCACUCAAGGCAACCGAAGCGUUGAGGACUACUACAAAGACAUGGAAAUUGCUAUGAUAAGUGAUGUGAGCUUGCCUACGAACCAAAUGGAGAACGAACAAGAAGCCAUUAAGCUGCCCAUUGGUCCAAUAACGCGAGCUAGAGCUAAACGAUUCAAAGAUGCUAUUUUAGCAAUGGUGGAACGGGUUGAGGAAAAAGAUAGCAAGGAGUUUAAAAACGAGCUGAACAUAUUCAACUUCUUUGAAGCUGAAUUUUGUUCUAGCUAAUUAAUUUGAUGACUGGAAUUUAGACCAUUUAAAUAAACAUUUAAAUAAGUUUCAUUACAGCUUUUAAAUAUGUCUUAAUUAAUUUAAGUGUUUAAUAUGUCUUGAUUUAGUUAAAUUAAAGAUGUCUUGAUGUCAUUUAGUUUGUCUAAAUUAUUACAUGUUUUAAAUUUGUCUAGCCGAAUUUAUGUGUUAUGAUUUGUUAAUAUUUAAGUUGUCUCAAUGUUAUUUAGGAUGUUCACAUUAUAUUUUAAUUUAGUUCAGAUGAAUUUGCUUGAAAUUAAUUAAGUUCAAGUUUAUUUUUAGGUGCAGCCGAAUUUGGAGAUGAAUUGGACAGAUUCAUGCAUGGAGAUUCAAUGAAUUUGAAGAUGCAUGUGCAGCUGAACUAAUGCAUUAAAAGCAAAUUAAUUUUGGUGUUCUUCAAGGCAACUAUUCGGCCAAGAGUGAUCAAGUUUUUCAUCCUUUCAAGCUUGGCCGAUUCUCUUCCCAAGGGCGUAUAAAAGCUGUUCACACUAUGUCUAUUCGGUUCAGCCAUGUUCACACUUCAAGGCUCUUCAAAACCGUCCAUUCACACUUCUAAAUGGCUGUUCCAGUUGCCAAUUAAUGCUGGUAAUUUUUCAUCAAUAGUUGCUUCAUGAAUGACCUCAUUAAACUCCAUUGGCCGAAUGUAGCUGCUGCCAUUUUUUUCCAAGUUUAUUGAAAGCUCUUCCUUGGUCUCUAUUCAGCCGAACCUUGAUGCAAGCAUAUACAUGAAUUUAAGCUGAAUUUUUGUUCAAUUUUUGCUUAGAAAUUAAGUCUAGAAUAUGUCCAUUCGGCUACUAGACAUUAGACUAUAAAUAGUUGCUCAAUUUCUUGUAAAAGGACUUUUUGACAAAUUUCUGAAUGAAAUAUCAUUUUAGUGAGGCAAUUCACUCUCUUUAUUCUCCAAAGCUCUAAUUGACUUAUCUUCAACAAGUGGCGUCAAUCUGACUUUGUUUCGAACUUAUCACCAUUGGUGUGGCGUUCUUCAUACCGUAGGUUCCUAUUUUGCUAAAUAGAGGGUCUCGAUUUUAUCCCAAAAUCCUUUCUUUCUUUGAAACCUUAAGCCCCGGGUCCUUAUUUGCUAAUAAGGGUUCGACUUGUUUUCAUUGAAAUAUCCAGCAAACAACACUCCAUCAAACUCCCUUGUUUCCCAAAGCCAUUUAAUUUUAAACACCAAGACUUGAAUUUAUUUCAAGGCCGACACUACCUAAUUUCGAUCGGGAAAUAUUACGACUCAUUAUUUCAUACGAAACAAGCUCGUAUCAGUUGGUAUCAGAGCUGGUUAAUUUAAGUACGUAAAUUGUAGAUUCAAAAAAAAUCAAAAAAAAAUCGAGAAAAAAAAUUGCAUACGGUCUAGGUGCGGACGAAAAGAACGUGAAAGAUCCGUAAAAAAAAAAAGAGUCUAGAGAUACUUCAACAAAUUUUUUUCUAAAAUCACAUUCUACACUCCUUUAUACCCAUUUUAGUGAAUUUUCAUGCUAUUAAAAAAAUUCCCAAUUAGAGAAUCCAUUUUAUACGCCACAUCUUAAGCCUUUCUUUCUUUCGAGCCUACCCUAAACCAUACGACUUUCCCUUGCAAACCCCUUGAAGCUGACCCACAAGUGUGGAUAAAUCUAAGUAGCUUUUCAGAAUAUCGAGAGUUGGAUUUGAGAGGUAAAAGGCAAGAGAGUACAUCAAGAUAAAAGCCGAAAAUAGAGUGAAACACGAGAGGAGUGAAUUAUUUUCUUGUGAGUGAAUUGUGAGGUUUUUUUUUGUGGUGAGGAUAUUUUCUUAAUUUUAAUCAUCAUGUCAAGGAGCCCGGAACGACGAGCAACAAGUGGAGGAGCCUCGAAUGCCGCUGGUGGAGGAGUUAAUCUUCAACCAAGGAGAAACGUUCCCGGAGGCGGAGUGCCCGAUCUACAAGUUCAAGCAAUCGUGCGAGAAAUUUCUCGUUUGUUCCAACCUCAAUUUGAUUCCCUUCAUGAACGAAUGGAACAAAUGGAGGAACGAAGCCAACGUGCGAACACCCCUCCUAUUCCGAGAAGAGAGCGAGAACGUCCAUGGCAACAUGUAAAUGAUCUAUAUGAAGCAAGUGACGUUGAAAGUGAUCGAGCUUCACGACAAAGUGCAAGGCGACAAGGCCAACGAUCACGGGAACCAAGAGAUCGAGAGAGGACCGAUGAUGAUUUAAAAAACAUUAAAAUGGCGAUUCCUGCUUUUCAAGGAAGGUCGGAUCCCGAGGCCUAUCUUGAAUGGGAGAAGAAGGUGGAGUUAGUUUUCGAGUGCCACAAUUACUCAGAAAGCAAGAAGGUAAAGUUAGCUGCUAUAGAAUUCUCCGAAUACGCCAUAAUAUGGUGGGAUCAACUCACGAUGAGCCGAAGACGCAAUGGCAAACGUCCCGUGUCUACAUGGGCGGAAAUGAAAGCCAUAAUGAGAAAGCGAUUCAUUCCUGCUUACUAUCACCGAGAGUUGUAUCAAAAGCUCCAAAGCUUAACUCAAGGCCAACGAAGCGUGGAGGAUUACUACAAGGAAAUGGAAGUGGCCAUGAUCCGCGCUGAUGUGGAGGAAGAUCGAGAAGCCACCAUGGCUCGAUUUCUCACCGGACUUAACCGAGAUAUUGCAAAUAUUGUGGAGCUACACCAUUAUGUCGAGGUCAUUGAUAUGGUCCAUAUGGCCAUAAAGGUUGAAAAACAAUUAAAGAGAAAAGGUACGUUCCGUUCUUUCCCUAAUACUUCUUUUACGACUAAGUGGGGGCAAGGGUCCAACAGACGAGACUUGCUGAUACGAGAUCAAAGGCCCAAAAAAUGCGUUCCAAACUAAAUGGGACCAUCCAGGAGUUUGUUAGUAAGGCCUUAGAUGCGUACACAAAAGAAAGGGAAAAUCAAGAUUUCAAAUAUUGGGAAUCUUGGUCCAAGACACCAAAUCUUGCAGCCAAAGCGCAUUGGAUCUCCAUUACGAGCAUCAACGAUUCAAUUUCGGUAGGAGAUGGAUCACAAGCCCAAAUUCUUGAGGGCAAGGCCCAAUAAGAAAAUUCCCAGCCCAAUCAAGAAAUCCAUCCAUACUUAGUUGAAAAUCAGGCCAAAUUGUCAAAGUGGCCCAAGUUGUAAAGUUUUAUUUUUUAUUUAUUUAUUUAUUUACUUAGUUUAAAUUUUUAUGUCAAUAUUCAGUCCAAGAGUCCCAGAUAAAAUGACCUUUGACCGAAUUUCCAUAUUAAAAUAAUUAGGAGUUUUUUUUAUUUUAGUUUUCUAAUUAGAUUAGGACUAGUUAUAAGGCCUAUUUAAAGGCAUGGCUGUCCACCUUGUUAAACACUUAUCAUUAUUAUUAAAAUUUCAGAUUUGUUGAGAGCAGAAUUUUCUUUGAGUUUUCUCCAAUAUUUCUCUCUUGAGUUUUCUUUAGAAGUUGUUUUAACAAUCUUGUGAUUGUGGGAGCCAUCUUCAACCUUCUUCUUGCCAUUGAUAUUCUUUGGAGGGGAGAUUAGAGCUGUUUGAAGGGAGUUGUGAGAUCUUUCGAGAUUUCAAGGCUUCUUAGGACUUAUCUUUUAAUUUCUUACUGUCAAUUCUUUCUUUAUUUCUACUUGUGCUGAAUCAUUAUCUAAUCUAUUUUCUGUUCUUAUUGUGUUUUCAGCCUUUUUCUAUCUUAAGGAAUCAGCCCAAAAAUCCCCAAUUUCUAGGGUUUUUCCAUACUCUUUUUGGGUGAAAUUAGAUUGUCGAAAUUUGGGGAAAACUAUCUUGGUGUUCAAUUGGGCAGAAUCACAAUCUCCUUGAGGGUUUCAAGAAGCCUAACACUUAUUUCUAUUCUCAAUUUGAUUCUUUGCUGAUUUGGGGAUUUUAUUUCAGAUCUGAAAAUUCAAAAAUCUAAUCUUUUAAUUUUCUGUUUCGUUUCAGAUCUAAUUAUUUAGGGUUUUCGUAGGAGUUUCUCGUGACUUGGCAACUCGAUCUUGGUCCACGCGCAACCCUGUAUCACUUGCCGAGUCGAAAUAAAGAAGUAAGUGGAGCUACCAAAUUCAACAAACUGAUUACCGAAUCGAGUAAAGGAAAGAUGGAUGCCCAACCAAAUAGAUCCCGAGACAUCAAAUGCUUCAAAUGUCUUGGAAGGGGCCACAUCACAAGCCAAUGCCCGAACUGAAAUGCGAUGUUUGUUCGAGAUGAUGGAGAAAUUGAAUCCGAAAGUGAACAAGAGAACAAGGCUGUUGAACAACUCGAAGAAGAGGAAGACAUCGAACAAGCCGAGAAUGGAGAAAUCUUGGUUGUGAAAAGAAGUCUCACUUUGCAAGGUGCUGAAAAUGAUCAACAACGCGAAAACAUCUUCCAUACGCGAUGUCAAGUGCAAGGUAAGAUUUGUUGCGUGAUAAUCGAUAGGGAAAGUUGUACAAAUGUGGCUAGUACGUUGAUGGUGGAGAAACUCGGAUUGGCCACCACCAAACAUCCCCAUCCGUAUAAACUCCAAUGGCUUAACGAUGGUGGAGAAUUGAAGGUAACAAAACAAGUGCUCAUUUCAUUCACAAUCGGAAAAUAUCAAGAUGAAGUGAUGUGCGAUGUUGUACCGAUGCAUGCGGGGCAUCUUCUUUUGGGACGUCCGUGGCAAUUCGACAAGCGAGCAAUUCAUGAUGGUUCCACAAAUCGAUUCUCUUUCAAACAUAUGGGACGAAUGGUGACUCUAGCUCUGUUAUCACCGAAACAAGUGUACGAAGAUCAACUCAAAAUGAGGAGUUCGAUUGAAAAAUCAAAAGAAAUCGAGAGAGAGCAAAAAAAUGAAAAGAAUAAAGAAAAGAGUGAAGAAAAGAAGAAAAACAAAAAGAUGAGUGAUAAAAAAAGAGAGAGUGAUUCAAAAGAAAAAGAAAUGAGUGAUGAGAUUGAAAAAAAGAAUUUGUUUGUAAAAGAGAGGGAAGUUCGAAAAUCGAUGCUAUUGAAACAACCAUUGUUGGUUCUUUUGUACAAGGAGAGCUUGCUUGGCACUAACGAAUUUGAUGACAAAUUGCCUUCUUCUAUUUUGUCUGUGUUGCAGGAAUUUCAAGACGUAUUCCCGGAAGAAAUCCCGAGUGGGUUACCACCUAUUCGUGGAAUUGAACACCAAAUCGAUCUUGUGCCGGGAGCCACAAUUCCAAACCGACCUGCUUACCGGAGCAAUCCUGAAGAGACGAAAGAAUUACAAAAGCAAGUAAAUGAACUCCUUGAAAAGGGCUAUCUGCGUGAAAGCCUUAGUCCAUGCGCCGUGCCUAUUUUACUAGUUCUGAAGAAGGAUGGAACGUGGAGGAUGUGCGUGGACUGCCGUGCUAUAAAUAAAAUAACUAUCAAGUAUCAUCAUCCUAUACCACGAUUGGAUGAUAUGCUUGACGAGCUAAGUGGCGCGAGUUUAUUUUCAAAAAUCGACCUUAAGAGCGGUUAUCACCAAAUACGGAUGCGUGAGGGAGAUGAGUGGAAGACUGCGUUCAAAACGAAGCAUGGGCUUUAUGAAUGGCUCGUUAUGCCAUUUGGCUUAACGAACGCCCCAAGCACAUUCAUGAGGCUUAUGAACCACGUUUUAAGACCUUUUAUUGGUAGAUUUUGCGUAGUAUACUUCGACGAUAUAUUGAUCUAUAGUAAAAAUUUGGAUGAACAUAUUUUACAUUUAAAAUCUGUUUUGGAAGUAUUGAGAAAAGAAACCUUGUAUGCUAAUUUGAAGAAAUGUGAUUUCUGCACUAACAAGGCUGUGUUUUUAGGUUUUGUUGUUAGCUCGGAGGGUCUUGAAGUCGAUCAAGAGAAGAUCAAGGCGAUCCAAGAAUGGCCCCGUCCAACGAAUGUCUCCCAAGUCCAAAGUUUCCAUGGACUAGCAAGUUUUUACCGUCGAUUUGUGCCAAAUUUCAGCACCUUAGCCGCACCUUUAACCGGGGUUAUUCGUAAGAAUUCCAACUUUAUUUGGGGAGAGGAACAAGAAAAAUCCUUUUUGAAAAUUAAAGAUUGUCUAACUCAUGCACCGUUAUUAGCUUUGCCUAACUUUGAUAAAACUUUCGAGUUAGAAUGUGAUGCAUCAGGUUUAGGCAUUGGAGCUGUGUUGAUGCAAGAUGGUCGUCCUAUUGCCUAUUUUAGCGAGAAACUGAAUGGUGCUGUCUUAAACUAUCCAACAUAUGACAAGGAGCUCUAUUCGUUGAUCCGAGCCUUAGAAACAUGGCAACACUAUCUUUGGCCCAAGGAAUUCGUCAUACACACCGAUCAUGAGUCCUUGAAGUAUUUAAAGGGGCAACACAAGUUGAAUAAGCGACACGCUAAGUGGGUAGAAUUUCUCAAAUCUUUUCCCUACGUUAUUAAAUAUAAGAAAGGUAAGGAAAACGUAGUGGCUGAUGCACUAUCUCGAAGGUAUGCGUUGCUAAAUAUUUUGGAUGCUAAGUUAAUGGGGUUUGUAUUUCUUAAAGAUUUAUAUGUCAACGAUGCUGACUUUGGUGAAUUCUUUAGAUUAUGUACAAAGGGAGCCUACGAGAAGUACUAUCGACAUGAUGGGUACUUAUUCCGAGAAGGAAAGCUUUGUAUACCCCAAGUGAUGUGAUCCGGCCCGGAUUAAUUGAGUCGUUUCACGUAAUUGCCCGAUUGUCAACGAGGAAUAGUUGAGUUAUCGAAAAUAGGAUGAAAUAAGGCUAAAGAUGCGGAAGCUUUCAAAUGGUUUUAAAAGGUUGGCUAAGGUGAUGGUAAAUUUAUAAGGGUAGUAGGCUCGAUUUAAGGAUAAAAAUAAGAAAAAUGGAAGUUGAUAAAUGAAGGCUCGGUUUUGUAAAAAGAUAUUAUAGUUGGGUAAAAUCUAGGAUAGUCGGUGGAAUGGAUAAAUGAGCUUAAACACCAGAAACGAUUCAACACUAAAAAGUGUCACCCCGAUUUCUAUUCGGUUCAAGGUGGGAUUACGGAAUUGUAGAAGGGUUGAACGCCACACCAAAGCAAGGUGAUAAGUUCAAAAGAGAACGAUAGAUGCCACUAGCACACUAGAUAAGUCAGAUCGAAACUCGUACGAAUUUAGAGAGGAGAAAACUCACUCUUUGAACAAAGUUCAUUCAAAUGAUCAAAAGUCAAAAGUCCUUUACAAAUGAAAUCAACAAACUAUUUAUACUAGUUUCUUAUGCUAACCGAAUAGUCCAUUCAUGAACUUAAUGAUUAAGUAAUGAACCUAAAUUAAGACAUGAACCUUCUAGAAAAAUGACCAAUGGUGUCCUUGUCUAUGUUCGGCCGAAUGGGAGAUGAAUGGGCAGCUUCAUGUAUGAGCAAACUUUGGAAGCCAAUGGGAUUGUCUAGGUUCGGCCAUGGGAUGCAUGAAACUCCCAAAGGGUGUCUCUUGGCCGAAUAGGUGCUUAGGAAACUCCAAGGGUCCUCCCACAUGCAUCGAUUGUACAUGGAACUUGGAAGGGGCCUUGAACCUAGCCAUACAUGCACUUGCAUUGAUUACCCCCCAUUCAUGCAUGUGUGCCGUCCAAGGGAGAUGCACCUUUCAAUAUGCAUUAACCUUCCAUGUACAUGAAUGUAUGUCCUCCAAACAUUGAACCGGUCCAUGCAUGUAUCCUCCCGUUCAAUUAACUUUCCCAUGGACCUUGCAUUAAAUGCCAUGAAUGUAUCUUCCAAAUUCGGCUAACCUACAAAAGAAAAUAACAUAAUUAAAUAACACACAACUAUUCAUAUAAUUAUAAUUUAAAAUAAUAACUAAAUAACUUAAUAUCACUAACUAAAUUUGAACACAAUAAUUAUAAGUCAACUUAUAAUAAAUUCAGCUAGCUCAAAAAUAGUCAAAACACUUAAUGAGUUGAAAUUGAGCUAGGGGUUUCGGCAUGAGCUGUAGCAAACUUAAUUAUAAACUAAAUUAAGACUUAGUUUAUUGAAAGAAAGAAAGAAGGAGCUGAAAGUAAGCUCGGUUGAGCUCAAACGAGCUGAAACAAGCUCAAAUGAGCUGAGUUGAGCUGGACGGUGCUCGAGGAGCUAGAAAUGAGCUAGGAUCAGCUUUCCAACAAUGCACGGGUCCUUUGGAUAGUUGCUUCAAGCUGAUUUUGUGAGCUUUGGCCCUUGUUUCGAACCAAGGUUUUGCAUUAGAAGCUAAAAUAGCUUCUAAGAAAUGUUUAGCAUAAGCUUGAGUUAUAGGUCCUUUAGGCAGCUCGUUUAGAUCUUGGUUUGCACUCGAGGAUGCCCCGGGUGUGCUCACAUCACCAAGGUUCCGUACGAGAAGUGUUGAUCGAAGAAGCCCAUAGCAGAGGAUUAAUGGGGCACUUUGGUGUUGCUAAGACAUUAGCUACAUUGCACGAACAUUUCUUUUGGCCCAAGAUGCGACGAGAUGUCGAACGAUUUUGUAAUAGAUGCAUUGCGUGCAAACGGGCUAAGUCACGAAUUAAGCCCCACGGUUUGUAUAAACCAUUACCUAUUCCCGAAACCCCUUGGUCUGAUAUCUCCAUGGAUUUCGUUCUAGGUUUACCUAGGAGUAAGAAUGGCCGAGAUUCAAUAUUUGUGGUUGUAGAUAGGUUCUCAAAAAUGGCCCAUUUUAUAGCAUGUCAUAAAACUGAUGAUGCCGUUAAUAUUGCUAACUUAUUUUUCAAAGAGGUGGUCAGGUUGCAUGGCAUGCCUAGAACGAUCGUGUCCGACCGAGACGCAAAAUUCCUUAGCCAUUUUUGGAGGACACUAUGGGGGCGUCUUGGAACGAAGUUGCUAUUUUCAACCACUUGCCAUCCGCAAACGGACGGCCAAACCGAAGUGGUCAACCGGAUUCUGUCUACAUUGCUUCGAGCUAUUAUUCGGAAGAAUGUGAAGGCUUGGGAAGAAUGCUUACCACAUGUGGAGUUUGCGUAUAAUCGAGCUGUUCAUUCAGCUACCAAAUUUUCUCCUUUUGAAAUUGUCUAUGGUUUCAAUCCAUUAACUCCACUUGAUUUAUUGCCAUUGCCUUCUAAUCAACUUGUUCAUGUAGAUGGGAAGCGCAAAGCUGAUUUCGUCAAGCAAUUACACCAACGAGUUCGAGACAAUAUUGAGGCCAAGACCAAGAACUAUGAGCAACAUGCUAACAAAGGUCGUAAGCGAGUUGUGUUCGAACCGGGAGAUUGGGUUUGGUUGCAUAUGCGCAAGGAGAGAUUUCCUAUGCAAAGGCGAUCCAAACUUCUUCCGAGAGGGGAUGGACCGUUUCAAGUCCUUGAGCGAAUUAACGAUAACUCCUAUAAAUUGGACUUGCCUGGUGAAUAUAAUGUUAGCGCGACUUUUAACGUUUCUGAUUUGUCUCCGUUUGAUGCAGAUUCCGAUUUGAGGGCAAAUUGUUCUGGAGAGGAGGGGAAUGAUGUGAGCUUGCCUACGAACCAAAUGGAGAACGAACAAGAAGCCAUUAAGCUUCCCAUUGGUCCAAUAACGCGAGCUAGAGCUAAACAAUUCAAAGAUGCUAUUUUAGCAAUGGUGGAACAGGUUGAGGAAAAAGAUAGCAAGGAGUUUAAAAACGAGCUGAACAUAUUCAACUUCUUUGAAGCUGAAUUUCGUUCUAGCUAAUUAAUUUGAUGACUGGAAUUUAGACCAUUUAAAUAAACAUUUAAAUAAGUUUCAUUACAGCUUUUAAAUAUGUCUUAAUUAAUUUAAGUGUUUAAUAUGUCUUGAUUUAGUUAAAUUAAAGAUGUCUUGAUGUCAUUUAGUUUGUCUAAAUUAUUACAUGUUUUAAAUUUGUCUAGCCGAAUUUAUGUGUUAUGAUUUGUUAAUAUUUAAGUUGUCUCAAUGUUAUUUAGGAUGUUCACAUUAUAUUUUAAUUUAGUUCAGAUGAAUUUGCUUGAAAUUAAUUAAGUUCAUGUUUAUUUUUAGGUGCAGUCGAAUUUGGAGAUGAAUUGGACAGAUUCAUGCAUGGAGAUUCAAUGAAUUUGAAGAUGCAUGUGCAGCUGAACUAAUGCAUUAAAAGCUAAUUAAUUUUGGUGUUCUUCAAGGCAACUAUUCGGCCAAGAGUGAUCAAGUUUUUCAUCCUUUCAAGCUUGGCCGAUUCUCUUCCCAAGGGCGUAUAAAAGCUGUUCACACUAUGUCUAUUCGGUUCAGCCAUGUUCACACUUUAAGGCUCUUCAAAACUGUCCAUUCACACUUCUAAAUGGCUGUUCAAGUUGCCAAUUAAUGCUGGUAAUUUUUCAUCAAUAGUUGCUUCAUGAAUGACCUCAUUAAACUCCAUUGGCCGAAUGUAGCUGCUACCAUUUUUUUCCAAGUUCAUUGAAAGCUCUUCCUUGGUCUCUAUUCAUCCAAACCUUGAUGCAAGCAUAUACAUGAAUUUAAGCUGAAUUUUUGUUCAAUUUUUGCUUAGAAAUUAAGUCUAGAAUAUGUCCAUUCGGCUACUAGACAUUACACUAUAAAUAGUUGCUCAAUUUCUUGUAAAAGGACUUUUUGACAAAUUUCUGAAUGAAAUAUCAUUUUAGUGAGGCAAUUCACUCUCUUUAUUCUCCAAAGCUCUAAUUGACUUAUCUUCAACAAGUGGCGUCAAUCUGACUUUGUUUUGAACUUAUCACCAUUGGUGUGGCGUUCUUCAUACCGUAGGUUCCUAUUUUGCUAAAUAGAGGGUCUCGGUUUUAUCCCAAAAUCCUUUCUUUCUUUGAAACCUUAAGCCCCGGGUCCUUAUUUGCUUAUAAGGGUUCGACUUGUUUUCAUUGAAAUAUCCAGCAAACAACACUCCAUCCAAACUCCCUUGUUUCCCAAAGCCAUUUAAUUUUAAACACCAAGACUUGAAUUUAUUUCAAGGCCGACACUACCUAAUUUCGAUCGAGAAAUAUUACGACUCGUUAUUUCAUACGAAACAAGCUCGUAUCAAUAAGAGCCGAUGUGGAGGAGGAUCGUGAAGCAACCAUGGCGAGGUUUCUAGCCAGCCUAAAUCGGGAUAUUGCCAAUAUGGACAUGGUGCAUAUGGCAAUCAAAGUGGAAAAGCAAUUGAAAAGGAAAGGAUCCACUCGAACAUAUCCAACGGCUUCUACCAACAAGUGGGCUCAAGGGACUAGCAAAACUCCUAAUCGGCCUAAGGAGCCUUUUGUUGCUGCUAAAUCCAACCAACCAAGUGGCGAAGCUAGCAAAAAUAAAAAUGAGGCUGCUUCGAAUCAUUCUCGUGAUAUCAAGUGUUUCAAGUGUCAAGAAAGAGGCCACAUUGCGAGUCAAUGUCCUAAUCGACGAGUGAUGGUGGUUCGUUCAAAUGGCGAGAUUGAAUCCGAAGAUGAACAAGAGGAGGAGCCUGAAAUUCCCAUGGAGGAAGGUGAAGAGCUCGAGCUGCCCGUUGAAUUACUUGUUGUCAAAAGGAGUUUGAAUAUCCAAGUAGCUGAGGAGGAACAACAACGAGAUAACAUCUUUCACACCCGUUGCCAUGUUCAAGGUAAGGUGUGUAGUUUGAUUAUUGACGGAGGUAGUUGCACCAACGUCGCAAGUUCUUUGCUUGUUGAAAAACUUGGUUUAGCCACCACAAAGCAUCCAACCCCUUACAAGCUACAAUGGCUAAAUGACGGAGGUGAACUCAAGGUGACGAAGUGAUGUGAUCUCAAUCGCAUCAUGUUGUGGCACCACUCGUUGCUAUCAUGAUUGGCCUAAACACGAGGGCCCCAAGUGCAAGAUGAAGCUCAAUCUCAGCUCAACAAGCUCAAUCUUAGUUUUUCCCAGCUCGAAUUAGCUCACAUGAGCUUAAUUUAGCUCGUUUGAGCAUUUAACUUACUUUAGCUCAUUUGAGCUUGGCUUAAGUUUAUUUCAACUCAUUUAUUUUAAUGUCUGAAUAAAUUAAGUAAUUUAUUAGUUUAGCUUAAAUUACUACAGCUCAUAAUUAUGUUUUGACUUAUUACAUGUUUUAAAUGUGUCUUGGCCGAAUUUAAUAUGUCUUGUUAAGACUUUAUUAAAUUUGUCUAAUUUAAUUUAUGUUUAAUUAGUGUGUCUAAAUUAUAUUAAUGUUUGUUCAGCUGAAUUUUAUGUGAUUUAAUUUUGGUUCAUGUGUUUUUGUAGGUGAGUUGAAUUUGGAGAGUAAUUAAACAAGGUUCAUGCAUGAUAGGUUCAAUGUAUGGGACGGUGCAUGUAAGGCCUCUUUCAAUGAAUGGUGGCUGAUCCAUUUGGCUCCCCAAGGCACCUAUUUGGCCAAAAGGUGUCCAGCAACUUAAAGCACAAGCUUGGCCGAUCGUAUUCCCAAGGCAGCAUCUAAGCCAUUCACACCUCAAUUUGACCAAUCAGCUCCUAUACAUGUAUGGGUGGAUUCAUGAACGUCCAAAGGGAGGGAAUAUUACCUUAAUUCAUCACAUUGAAUGUAUAAUGUGCAUGUACAAAGGGGAGAACGAAUUUACAAGGUACAUGCUUCCAUUCAUGAACCAGCCCAUCAUUAAAGCUUUAAUUAAGAGAGAUGCAAUACCCAUGCACCUAGCAUUCGUCCAAGAGGGGUUGGAUAUGAAUUGAAGAUGCACAUUCAUGGAACAAGGAAGCUUUCUUAUUGGUUAAGCAUGCAUGAACGGGUUUUGGGAAGAAACGUGAUUAUUCAACCAUGCAUGAACUUAUACUAUCCAUGAACAGAGAUUUAAUGCUUGAAGUGUGAACAUUUUUAAUUGUUGUGUGAACACAUUAGUAGCUGAAUUUUAAUAGGCAUUAGAGAGCUAUAAAUAGUUUAUUUUGUUUAUUGUAAAAGGUUACAGAAUUUGAUUAUUGAAAACUUGAUUGUGAGGUUUCCUCCUAUCCUAUUUCGUACGAGUCUCGUUCUGACUUAUCUAGCUCGCUAGUGGCGUCAACCCGACUUCUUGAACUUAUCACCAUCCUGGUGUGGCGUUCAUCCACCUUUUUAUACCUUUGGUUCCUACCUCUCUAUAGGUAACGGGUCAAGGUCCAUCUUCGACAAUCCAUUUAAUCCACCUUGAGCAAUAUAAGUCCCGGGGCAAUACUUCAUAUAGUAUUGAAUCGUUCUUCGCUUGAGUUCUAUUUUUCCAUUCCAUUUUAACUAUUAAAUUAUAAACAAUAUUUCUUUAUUUCACCGAGCCUAUCAAACAUCUAUCCAAACCAUCUUUUGAACCCAUUUUCUCAACUUCUGCUAUAAAAAAUCAUCUAACUCCAUCUAACUACAAAUUCGAACAAACUUCUCGUCGACGAUUGGGCAAUCAAGUGAAUCGACUCAAUCAACCGAGCCAGAUCACAUCACGAAGCAAGCAAAAGUGGCGUUUUCCAUAGGCAAGUACCAAGACGAGGUGAUUUGUGAUGUCGUGCCCAUGCACGCGGGGCAUUUGCUAUUGGGCCGUCCUUGGCAAUUUGACCGACGAGUAGUCCACGACGGUUAUACAAACCGAUAUUUAUUCAAGCACCUUGGAAGGAAUGUUACAUUAGCUCCUCUCACACCGAAGCAAGUGCAUGAAGACCAACUCAAGAUGAAGCAAUCUAUUGAGCGAGAAAAAGAAAAAGAGAAAAACAAAAAGAGUGAAAAGAAAAAGAAAGAAACGAAUGAUGAGAGUGAGGUAAAAACAAGAGUGACAAAAGACAAAGAACAAGAGUAUGAAAAUAAAAAAACGAGUGUUUUUGCUACAAAAAGAAAGAUUCAAAAAUUGAUGUUGGCAAGGCAACCCAUCUUUGUACUUAUGUUCAAAGAGUGUUUAUUGGAAACUAACGAACUUGAGGAUACUUUGCCUACUCCUAUCGUUUCUUUGUUGCAGGAAUUUGGAGAUGUUUUUCCCGAAGAAGUGCCAAAUGGCCUACCUCCCAUUCGAGGAAUCGAGCACCAAAUCGAUUUUGUGCCCGGUGCUGCAAUUCCAAAUGGGCCAGCAUAUAGAAGUAAUCCUGAGGAAACGAAGGAAUUGGAAAAACAAGUAGCUGAAUUAAUGGAGAAGGGCUACAUCCGUGAAAGUUUAAGUUCGUGCGCGGUUCUGGUUUUGUUGGUUCCUAAAAAGGAUGGAUCAUGGCGAAUGUGCGUUGACUGCCGUGCCAUCAAUAAAAUUACCAUAAAAUAUCGCCAUCCUAUUCCCCGCCUCGAUGACAUGCUUGAUGAACUUAGUGGAGCCCAAUUGUUUUCGAAGAUCGAUUUAAAAAGUGGGUAUCAUCAAAUCAGAAUGCGGGAGGGAGACGAAUGGAAAACUGCGUUCAAAACUAAAUAUGGUUUGUAUGAAUGGUUGGUAAUGCCAUUCGGACUUACCAACGCUCCAAGUACUUUCAUGUGUCUCAUGAAUUAUGUUUUACGUUCGUUCAUUGGGAAAUUUUGUGUUGUAUAUUUUGAUGAUAUUUUAGUCUAUAGCAAGAGCUUGGAAGAUCAUAUUCAACAUCUACGUGCCGUACUUGAAGUCUUGCGAAAAGAGGUACUUUAUGCCAAUUUAAAGAAAUAUUCUUUUUGCACUAAUGAAGUUGUUUUUCUAGGAUUUGUGGUAAGUGCUCGUGGAUUAGAAGUUGACCAAGAAAAGGUCAAGGCGAUCAACGAAUGGCCGCGUCCAACGAACAUCAGCCAAGUGAGGAGUUUUCACGGGUUGGCAAGCUUCUAUCGAAGGUUUGUGCCUAAUUUUAGUUCUGUAGCUGCCCCCUUGACAGGUAUAAUUAAGAAAAACUCUCCUUUUGUGUGGACUGAUGAACAAGAGAAUUCUUUUAAUAAGCUUAAAGAAUGUCUAACUAAUGCACCAUUGUUGUCUUUACCUGAUUUUAAUAAGACAUUCGAGAUAGAGUGUGAUGCUUCAGGUAUUGGCAUUGGCGCUGCUUUGAUGCAAGAUGGACGGCCUAUUGCAUACUUUAGUGAAAAGCUUAACGGAGCUAUGUUGAAUUAUCCAACGUAUGAUAAGUGAUGUGAGCUUGCCUACGAACCAAAUGGAGAACAAACAAGAAGCCAUUAAGCUGCCCAUUGGUCCAAUAACGCGAGCUAGAGCUAAACGAUUCAAAGAUGCUAUUUUAGCAAUGGUGGAACGGGUUGAGGAAAAUGAUAGGAAGGAGUUUAAAAAUGAGCUGAACAUAUUCAACUUCUUUGAAGCUGAAUUUCGUUCUAGCUAAUUAAUUUGAUGACUGGAAUUUAGACCAUUUAAAUAAACAUUUAAAUAAGUUUCAUUACAGCUUUUAAAUAUGUCUUAAUUAAUUUAAGUGUUUAAUAUGUCUUGAUUUAGUUAAAUUAAAGAUGUCUUGAUGUCAUUUAGUUUGUCUAAAUUAUUACAUGUUUUAAAUUUGUCUAGCCGAAUUUAUGUGUUAUGAUUUGUUAAUAUUUAAGUUGUCUCAAUGUUAUUUAGGAUGUUCACAUUAUAUUUUAAUUUAGUUCAGAUGAAUUUGCUUGAAAUUAAUUAAGUUCAAGUUUAUUUUUAGGUGCAGCNNNNNNNNNNNNNNNNNNNNNNNNNNNNNNNNNNNNNNNNNNNNNNNNNNNNNNNNNNNNNNNNNNNNNNNNNNNNNNNNNNNNNNNNNNNNNNNNNNNNNNNNNNNNNNNNNNNNNNNNNNNNNNNNNNNNNNNNNNNNNNNNNNNNNNNNNNNNNNNNNNNNNNNNNNNNNNNNNNNNNNNNNNNNNNNNNNNNNNNNNNNNNNNNNNNNNNNNNNNNNNNNNNNNNNNNNNNNNNNNNNNNNNNNNNNNNNNNNNNNNNNNNNNNNNNNNNNNNNNNNNNNNNNNNNNNNNNNNNNNNNNNNNNNNNNNNNNNNNNNNNNNNNNNNNNNNNNNNNNNNNNNNNNNNNNNNNNNNNNNNNNNNNNNNNNNNNNNNNNNNNNNNNNNNNNNNNNNNNNNNNNNNNNNNNNNNNNNNNNNNNNNNNNNNNNNNNNNNNNNNNNNNNNNNNNNNNNNNNNNNNNNNNNNNNNNNNNNNNNNNNNNNNNNNNNNNNNNNNNNCUAACACCCGAAAACCCGAAAAAACUGCGGAGUAACUUGAAAACUUCGUUUGAGGUGUUCCUGAUCUCCAAAAAUCACAAAAUUUAAACUAAAAUGUCCUAAAUAUUGUAUAUUUGAUCUGGAAAGUUUCGGUACUAAAAUCAACCCGCUGAAUAUUUUUCAAUUUUUAUUUGAUUUCAUCUUUUUUAUAUUUUUGACUUUUUCUACUGAUUUUUUUGCGGGAGAUAUUUUUUAAUAUUCUAUCACAGUUUCACAAAUAUGCAUAUAAAAUUUUAGACCAAUCGGACAACGUUUACCCACUCAAAUGAAUUUUUUUCCAAAAUUUUUCUGGGUAAAAACUACUAUAUGCUGUUUUUUUUAAAUGAAAUCAGUUUAGAAAUCAACCAAUGAUACAGCCACGCCUCAAGUCCAACCUAGCUCGAGCAAGGAGCCUUUGGAGCUGCCUCAAGGUCCAAUCACCCGAUCACGAGCUAAACAAUUCAAGGAGGCUGUUUCGGCCUUAGUAGAUCAAGUUUGGGGCGAGACUUUGGUUGGACGCAUUGAUGAAGCUUGGACAAACUCGAUGAGCCUUCCUUGCACUUUGUUACGAGCUGAAUUAAGCUCCACUUCAGCUCAUUAAAUUCGAACCAGCUCAAAAUUAGCUCAAAAUAACUUAGUCAAUCAUAUAGUAGCUGAAAUAAUUAAUUGAGUUAGUUAAAUUAGUUAUUUAAAAGCUUAAUUAAUUUUCGUUAUUAAAUUGGUCUUAAAUCUGGUCAAACUUAAUUAUGCAUGAUUAAUUGUGUUUUCUUAUAUGUUAUUAAGCCAAAUUCCUACAGCUCAUAAAUAAGUCUUAAUACAUGUUUUAAUGUGUCUUGUCCAAACUGAAUUAAUUAGACUUAGUUUAAUUAAUUGAGUUUUGUUUUAAUUAAUUGGAUUAAUGUUGUCUAAAUUUCGUUUUUAAUAUGAUUCAGCUGAAUAAUGAUCAACUAAAUUCAUUUGUUCAUGUUGUGUAGGUUGGCCGAAUGUGGGUGGAAGCAUUUAAGCUAGGUGCAUGCAUCAUAGGUUCAAUGAAUGUGGCGUUACAUGCAUGAGGAAUGUUCAGCUGAUUUUAAAUGAUUCAAGAACCAGCAUAAUGCCGUUCACACAUGAAGUUCACACUCUUGGCUUUUCGGUUUUGGAAUGUUCACACACAAAGACUCUUUGAAACCGAGUGUUCACACUUCAUUUGGCCAUUCAAAUCCCUCUUAAUGGCUGGUCACUUUUCAGCAAAAGCUACAAAUUAAAUGAGCUUAUUUAUGCACAUUGACCGAAUCUAGCUCAUCCAUGCACCAUUCAAGUUGUCCAAGGUUCAAUGUGAAUUCUAGAAGCUUUCCAAGUUCAGCCGAACCUAGCCAAGCCAUUGAAGAAUUCAUUAGCUUAGUUUUUAAGAAAAUGUAUGUGACUAUUCGGCUAACUUAGUUGCUGAUUAUAAAUAGCUGAAAUUUCAUUUUGUAAAGGACUUUUGACAUUUUUAAGUAACGAAUUGCUGCCAAAUUUGUGAGGUAUUUUCUCUCAAAUUUCGUUCGGGACCCGUAAGACUUAUCUAGCUUCUAGUGGCGUCUUUCCGAGUCUUUCUUUCGAACUUAUCACUCCCUAAACCUGAGUGUGGCGUUCACCUUUGAUACCUUUGGUUCAUACUUUACUAAGUAUCGGAUCAAGGUCCUUAUCAACCAUUUCCAACUCAAUUUGGUCCUAUAAGUUUCGGGUCGACACUUUUCUUUAGUGUUGGUUCACUCUUGACCUUUUUGAACCAUUACCAUUUCGUACCAAAUCCCUUACCAUUUCGUACCAAUUCCCAAAUACCAAAACGUACCAAAACCAAAUACCAUUUCUUAAUUAAUCCUAAACCGAACUCGACCAUUCUAGUCAUACCAUUUCGACUUAAACCAAAUCCAUAUCCAACUUUGCACGGACUUACUUUACUUCUUUGAACUCAAAUAUAUUCUAUCUUCUUCUGGUCUAAUAUACUUCUUCGUUUACGAUCGGGAACUAAACGACUAGGGUUCAACUACUAAACCGAGGUCGUAUCAACCAAGAACACACAAAAUGCCCAAAAUCUGAUACCAAAUGAUAAACUGAAAUUUAACUCAGAAAGACUCCCAAAAACUGAAUGUUUAUUGACACCAAAGAAUGUUGCCAAAACUGAUUCUUGAAGCUUCGAAUGGCUGAAAACAGCCUUCAAAACAGCCUUCAAAACAAAAUUUGGAUUGUAUGAUGAUACGAGUCACAAAAGCCCAAAUUCUUGAAGGCGAGGCCCAAUAAGCAAAUUCCCAGCCCAAUCAAGAAAUCCAUCCAUACUUAGUUGAAAAUCAGGCCAAAUUGUCAAAGUGGCCCAAGUUGUAAAGUUUUAUUUUUAUUUUUAUUUAUUUAUUUAUUUAUUUACUUAGUUUAAAUUUUUAUGUCAAUAUUCAGUCCAAGAGUCCCAGAUAAAAUGACCUUUGACCGAAUUUCCAUAUUAAAAUAAUUAGGAUUUUUUUUAUUUUAGUUUUCUAAUUAGAUUAGGACUAGUUAUAAGGCCUAUUUAAAGGCAUGGCUGUCCACCUUGUUAAACACUUAUCAUUAUUAUUAAAAUUUCAGAUUUGUUGAGAGCAGAAUUUUCUUUGAGUUUUCUCCAAGAUUUCUCUCUUGAGUUUUCUUUAGAAGUUGUUUUAAUAAUAUUUUGAUUGUGGGAGCCAUCUUCAACCUUCUUCUUGCCAUUGAUAUUCUUUGGAGGGGAGAUUAGAGCCGUUUGAAGGGAGUUGUGAGAUCUUUCGAGAUUUCAAGGCUUCUUAGGACUUAUCUUUUAAUUUCUUACUGUCAAUUCUUUCUUUAUUUCUACUUGUGCUGAAUCAUUAUCUAAUCUAUUUUCUGUUCUUAUUGUGUUUUCAGCCUUUUUCUAUCUUAAGGAAUCAGCCCAAAAAUCCCCAAUUUCUAGGGUUUUUCCAUACUCUUUUUGGGUGAAAUUAGAUUGUCGAAAUUUGGGGAAAACUAUCUUGGUGUUCAAUUGGGCAGAAUCACAAUAUCCUUGAGGGUUUCAAGAACCCUAACACUUAUUUCUAUUCUCAAUUUGAUUCUUUGCUGAUUUGGGGAUUUUAUUUCAGAUCUGGAAAUUCAAAGUUCUAAUCUUUUAAUUUUUCUGUUUCGUUUCGGAUCUGAUUGUUUAGGGUUUUCGUAGGAGUUUCCCGUGACUUGGCAACUUGAUCUUGGUCCGCGCGCGUCCCUUUAUCAUUUGGUAUCAGAUUUUGGGCGUUUUGGGUGUUCUUGGUUGAUUUCUAAACUGAUCUCUAUUUUUUAAAGCACAAACAGCGGUUUUACCUAGAAAAAUUGUUCAAAAAAAUUCAUUUGAGUGGGUAAACGUUGUCCGAUUGAUCUGAAAUUUUACAUACAUGUUUUUGGCACUGUGAUUGAAUAUAAAAAAAUUAUUUCCGCAAAAAAAUCAGUCAAAAAAGUCAAAAAAAUCAAAAAAUACGAAAUUCAAUAAAAAUUUAAAAAAAAGAUUCAGCGGGUUGAAUUUGGUGCCCAAAAUUUCCAGAUCAAAAAUUAAAUAUAUAAGGACACUCCAGAUUUAAUUUAGUGAUUUUUGGAGAUCGGGAACACCUCGAACGAAGUUGUCAAGUUACUCCGCAGUUUUUCGGGUUUUCUGGUUUUAGCAAUUUUUAUUGAUUCUUAGCUGUAGUUUUCAUUUGUUUGCUUUUAUUCUUCCGUUACGUUAUCUAACACCUUCUUGUUUCUUGUGUUAGUAGGAUUUACACGUGUGCACAACUCCUUCCUCGGUGCAACACGAAUCACUUGGUGUCUCGUCAGUUUUUGGCAUCCUAGUGCAAAUUAGGAUUCUUUGGUAGUUUGGUUCACACUCUCUAAUUGGUUGAUAUAAACUCUGAUAAAGAACUCACAAGAUUGAAUUCGACCUCAUUGAGAAUUUGAUUUUUCUUUUUGAGUGAUUAAUGGUGAGGUUUGCUAACUUUUAUUUUUGAGUGUUGAGUGUUUAUUUUUUACAGGUUUUGAAGAUGUCUAAAGGUGAUAAUAAUGAUGCACUUAUGAAAGUCCAACAACAGUUAGACGAACAUACUGCUGCAAUCACACAAAUAAAUGCUACACUUCAAGCAUUGAAUACUACUUUGAAUGAGGUACGAGUGAAUCAAAAACAUCAAUAUCGAGAUCCAAUAAAGGAAGAUAGGGAUAACCAGCCCUAUAGGUGCAGCCCUCAACGUGUCCCUAGAAUGGAUGAUGAUUUUCAUGAUCGUGGACAAUCAUCUUUGGUAAAACCAAAGAGCGAACAGCAACGAGAACAUCUUUUUCAUACUCGCUGCCAUGUACAAGGUAAGCUUUGUAGAGUUAUUAUUGAUGGUGAAAGUUGCUCGAACAUAGCCAGCACGACGAUGGUGGAAAAGCUUUGCUUAACCACUACCAAGCAUCCACAACCUUAUCAACUACAAGGGCUUAGCAACGAAGGCCAAUUUAGGGUCACUCAACAAGUGCGCAUCGCCUUUUCUAUCGGUAAGUAUCAAGACGAAGUUGUGUGCGACGUAAUGCCUAUUCAAGCCUGCCAUUUGUUGCUAGGAGAACCAUGGCAACUGGAUCGAAAAGUCACUCACAAUGGUCGUACCAAUAGGUAUUCUUUCAAGCAUCAAGGAAAGAAACUCACCUUAGUGCCGCUCACUCCGGAACAAGUCCAUGAGGACCAAAUCAAACUGAAAAAUUCUGUUAAAACAAGUGAGGAAAAAGAAAAAGAGAAUGAAAAAGAGCAAAAAGAGAUUGAGAGUGAAAAAGAAAUUGAAGAAAGAAGAGAAAAUGAAUUAGAAAAAGAAACAAAUGAAAAAGAUGUGGAAAGGGUAGUGAGGAAUGUUUCCACUAACCAAGAUAUGAAUUUUUCUUGUGUUGCUACUUUUCAGGUUCCCGAAAGAUCGAAAGAUAACUUUCAACUUCAAUACCUCUCAAAUGAAAGACGCUUUCAUACGAUCAACUUAAGCAAAGAUGAAAUCACACUACAUGAUCCCGAAGGUAAGCGAGGUAAGGAAAUUUUAGAAACCGAGUCCAGUGCAGAUUUAAAAAUUAUUGAUAAAACUUUUGGUGACUUAGUUCUUAAAAGAUCCCCUCAUUUUGAUCCGAUUAAUUGUUACUCUUUGAUUGUGGUUGAUAAAGUCAUUACGAAAAAAAGCGUGAUUUGUUAUUCUCUUGAUUUACCUUGUGUAAAAUCCUUGAAUUUUUCCAAAUCUGUUUUGGAGAAUAAGGUAACGAAAUUUUCCAAAUUUGUUUUCAAUUUAUAUUCGUGCCUUAAACAGUUUAUGUGGUUGUACAUGAAGUUUGAGUUCCAUUUGACAAACGUUAACUCAACAACGAAGAUUCGACUACACUAUGCCCCCGAUGAGCGAAGGUUUGUUUUAAAUGAAAAAGGUAAAAUCGACCCUUAUUCUUCUGCUUAUUGAGGUAAGAUGCUUGAAACCUUUGAAACAUUUUUGUACUCCUCGGAUAGUGAUAAAGAUCGUGUUGAUGAACACUUAGAUCGAAACGUGCUUGACUGUCCUAUUUUAUUUAUUGAUGAUCUAUCUGUUUUGAUGGUUGAUAAAAAGAUUCUUGUUUUUGAUAAUGCAUGUGUGAGUGAAUCUAUAGACCGUCGAUUAAUGCAUGGUAUGAUUAUGCAAAUCUGUGAACCAUGUGAAUCUUUUCAAAUACCUACUUGUGACGAUUAUGUUUACCAUUUGAUUUAUUACUCGCAAUUUAUUCAUGGUUUGUGGGAACAAUGUGAGACGACUGAAUGCCUUAAAACAUGUCCAUCUUUGUUUUAAAUAUUUGACGAGGCAGUGGUGAGUAAAUUAGAUUGUUUGCAUGGUAAUCUGAAUCUGUCCAUUCACAUGCGUUAUACCUGUUCUGUUAUGCUUAUGAUUGGACUACAAGCUUGUUUCCGUUGCUAUUUACUAUCUCAUGGUUAUUCUUCUCAGUGGACUCAAUUGCCAUUAGUCACGUUCGAUAGAGGAAAGUCGAGUUCAUUUGAUUUUUCAGAUUCGAGGAUGAAUCUUUUUGAGGAAGGGGGGAAUGAUACGAGUCACAAAAGCCCAAAUUCUUGAAGGCGAGGCCCAAUAAGCAAAUUCCCAGCCUAAUCAAGAAAUCCAUCCAUACUUAGUUGAAAAUCAGGCCAAAUUGUCAAAGUGGCCCAAGUUGUAAAGUUUUAUUUUUAUUUUUAUUUAUUUAUUUAUUUAUUUACUUAGUUUAAAUUUUUAUGUCAAUAUUCAGUCCAAGAGUCCCAGAUAAAAUGACCUUUGACCGAAUUUCCAUAUUAAAAUAAUUAGGAGUUUUUUUUAUUUUACUUUUCUAAUUAGAUUAGGACUAGUUAUAAGGCCUAUUUAAAGGCAUGGCUGUCCAUCUUGUUAAACACUUAUCAUUAUUAUUAAAAUUUCAGAUUUGUUGAGAGUAGAAUUUUCUUUGAGUUUUCUCCAAGAUUUCUCUCUUGAGUUUUCUUUAGAAGUUGUUUUAACAAUCUUUUGAUUGUGGGAGCCAUCUUCAACCUUCUUCUUGCCAUUGAUAUUCUUUGGAGGGGAGAUUAGAGCCGUUUGAAGGGAGUUGUGAGAUCUUUCGAGAUUUCAAGGCUUCUUAGGACUUAUCUUUUAAUUUCUUACUGUCAAUUCUUUCUUUAUUUCUACUUGUGCUGAAUCAUUAUCUAAUCUAUUUUCUGUUCUUAUUGUGUUUUCAGCCUUUUUCUAUCUUAAGGAAUCAGCCCAAAAAUCCCCAAUUUCUAGGGUUUUUCCAUACUCUUUUUGGGUGAAAUUAGAUUGUCGAAAUUUGGGGAAAACUAUCUUGGUGUUCAAUUGGGCAGAAUCACAAUCUCCUUGAGGGUUUCAAGAACCCUAACACUUAUUUCUAUUCUCAAUUUGAUUCUUUGCUGAUUUGGGGAUUUUAUUUCAGAUCUGGAAAUUCAAAGUUCUAAUCUUUUAAUUUUUCUGUUUCGUUUCAGAUUAAUUGUUUAGGGUUUUCGUAGGAGUUUCCCGUGACUUGGCAACUCGAUCUUGGUCCGCGCGCAACCCUAUAUCAUAUGAAUGGUUAGUUAUGCCUUUCGGUCUUACUAAUGCACCUAGUACAUUUAUGAGAUUAAUGAAUCAUGUUUUAAGGCUUCACUUGGGUAAAUUUGUAGUAGUUUAUUUUGAUGACAUUUUAAUUUACUCAAAGACAUUAGAUGAUCAUGUUUUCCAUGUUCAAACCGUUUUGAAUAUUCUACGAGCUGAAAGAUUAUUUGCUAACCUUGAUAAAUGCACAUUCUGUUGUGAUAAACUAAUAUUUUUAGGUUUCAUAGUUAGUGCUCAAGGUAUUCAUGUCGACGAGGAUAAAGUCAAGGCAAUUAAGGAGUGGCCGACUCCUAAAUCGGUAACUGAGGUGAGAUCUUUCCAUGGUUUAGCUAGUUUUUAUAGACGAUUUGUGAAAGAUUUCUCUACUAUUGCUGCCCCAUUGACAGAGGUUAUAAAGAAAUCAGUGGGUUUCAAAUGGGGUGAAACCCAAGAAAAGGCCUUUCAAACUCUAAAAGCUAAGUUAUGUUCUGCUCCUUUGCUUAAAUUACCUGAUUUUGCUAAAACUUUUGAACUUGAGUGUGAUGCUUCAGGAAUUGGAAUCGGCGCCGUUUAAUGCAAGAUAAGUAACCUAUUGCUUAUUUUAGUGAGAAAUUGAAUGGUGCACAGUUAAACUAUUCGACCUAUGAAAAAGAACUAUUAGCAUUAGUUCGUGCACUUCAAGUAUGGCAACAUUACUUGCUACCCAAUGAGUUUGUCAUACAUACAGAUCAUGAAUCCCUUAAAUGGUUAAAGUGAAAAGGGAAAUUGAGUAAACGGCAUGCCCGAUGGGUAGAAUUCAUUGAAACAUUUCCUUAUGUAAUACAAUAUAAAACAGGUAAAGAUAAUGUAGUUGCAGAUGCUUUGUCUAGACGAUAUGCUUUAAUAACUACAUUGAAUGCUAAAGUCUUAGGGUUCGAACAUAUUAAGGAACUAUAUGAUGAUGAUGCUGAUUUCGGCCAUAUCUAUAAGAAUUGUGGACAUACUGCUUUUGAUAAAUUUUAUCUUGUAGAUGGCUUUCUUUUUCGUAUGAACAGGUUAUGCAUACCAAAGUGUUCCAUGAGAGACUUAUUGAUUCAUGAAGCCCAUAAUGGGAGUUUAAUGGGACAUUUUGGAGUGGCCAAAACACUGGAUAUCUUGCAAGAACACUUUCAUUGGCCACAUAUGAAGAAAGAUGUGGAAAAGGUAUGUUCCAAGUGCAUUACAUGUAAACAGGCAAAAUCUAAGGUAAUGCCUCAUGGCCUUUACACUCCUUUACCGAUUCCUACUUCUCCUUGGAUAGAUUUAUCUAUGGAUUUUAUUUUAGGUUUGCCUCUAACCAAGAAAGGAAGAGAUAGUAUAUUUGUUGUUGUUGACAGGUUUUCAAAAAUGGCACAUUUUAUUCCUUGUCACAAAAUAGAUGAUGCUAAACAUGUGGCAGACUUAUUCUUUAAAGAAGUGGUAAGACUUCAUGGCAUCCCUCAAACGAUUGUUUCUGACAGAGAUGUCAAAUUCCUUAGCCACUUUUGAAAGGUAUUGUGGGGUAAGCUUGGUACUAAAUUACUUUAUUCUACUACAUGUCACCCCCAAACUGAUGGCCAAACUGAAGUAGUUAAUCGAAUCUUAGGGACUUUAUUACGAGCUGUUGUGGGAAAGAACAUUAGAAAUUGGGAAGAAUGCCUACCAUUUGUUGAAUUUGCAUAUAAUAGAUCUAUUCAUUCUACAAUGGUUAUUCUCCAUUUGAACUUGUUUAUGGUUUUAACCCACUAACAGUACUUGAUCUUGCGCCAUUACCUCUUGAACACAUUAUGAAUUUAGAUGGCGAACAGAAAGCUGAGUUGGUGAAAUCCUUACAUGAGAAGGCUAGGCAGCGAAUAACCAAAACAAAUGAUGCCAACACCAACAAAGUAAACAAGGGACGCAAACGGGUUGUACUAGAACCCGGAGAUUGGGUUUGGGUUCAUUUGAGGAAAGAACGAUUUCCUACAAAAAGGAAGACUAAGUUGGACCCAAGGGGCGAUGGUGAUGUGAUUCGGCUCGGUUGAUUGAGUCGAUUCACUUGAUUACCCGAUCGUCGACGAGAAGUUUGUUCGAUUUUGUAGAUAGAUGGAGUUAGAUGAUUUUUUAUAGCGGAAGUUGAGAAAAUGGGUUCAAAAGAUGGUUUGGAUAGAUGUUUGAUAGGCUCGGUGAAAUAAAGAAAUAUUGUUUAUAAUUUAAUAGUUAAAAUGGAAUGGAAAAAUUGAACUCAAGCGAAGAACGAUUCAAUACUAUAUGAAGUAUUGCCCCGGGACUUAUAUUGCUCAAGGUGGAUUAAAUGGAUUGUCGAAGAUGGACCUUGACCCGUUACCUAUAGAGAGGUAGGAACCAAAGGUAUAAAAAGGUGGAUGAACGCCACACCAGGAUGGUGAUAAGUUCAAGAAGUCGGGUUGACGCCACUAGCGAGCUAGAUAAGUCAGAACGAGACUCGUACGAAAUAGGAUAGGAGGAAACCUCACAAUCAAGCUUUCAAUAAUCAAAUUCUGUAACCUUUUACAAUAAACAAAAUAAACUAUUUAUAGGCUCUCUAAUGCCUAUUAAAAUUCAGCUACUAAUGUGUUCACACAACAAUUAAAAAUGUUCACACUUCAAGCAUUAAAUCUCUGUUCAUGGAUAGUGUAAGUUCAUGCAUGGUUGAAUAAUCAUGUUUCUUCCCAAAACCCGUUCAUGCAUGCUUAACCAAUAAGAAAGCUUCCUUGUUCCAUGAAUGUGCAUCUUCAAUUCAUAUCCAACCCCUCUUGGACGAAUGCUAGGUGCAUGGAUCAUGCAUCUCUCUUAAUUAAAACUUUAAUGAUGGGCUGGUUCAUGAAUGGAAGCAUGUACCUUGUAAAUUCGUUCUCCCCUUUGUACAUGCACAUUAUACAUUCAAUGUGAUGAAUUAAGGUAAUAUUCCCUCCCUUUGGACGUUCAUGAAUCCACCCAUACACAUGUAUAGGAGCUGAUUGGUCAAAUUGAGGUGUGAAUGGCUUAGAUGCUGCCUUGGGAAUACGACCGGCCAAGCUUGUGCUUUAAGUUGCUGGACACCUUUUGGCCAAAUAGGUGCCUUGGGGAGCCAAAUGGAUCAGCCACCAUUCAUUGAAAGAGGCCUUACAUGCACCGUCCCAUACAUUGAACCUAUCAUGCAUGAACCUUGUUUAAUUACUCUCCAAAUUCAACUCACCUACAAAAACACAUGAACCAAAAUUAAAUCACAUAAAAUUCAGCUGAACAAACAUUAAUAUAAUUUAGACACACUAAUUAAACAUAAAUUAAAUUAGACAAAUUUAAUAAAGUCUUAACAAGACAUAUUAAAUUCGGCCAAGACACAUUUAAAACAUGUAAUAAGUCAAAACAUAAUUAUGAGCUGUAGUAAUUUAAGCUAAAUUAAUAAAUUACUUAAUUUAUUCAGACAUUAAAAUAAAUGAGUUGAAAUAAACUUAAGCCAAGCUCAAACGAGCUAAAGUAAGCUAAAUUGAGCUCAAACGAGCUAAAUUAAGCUCAUGUGAGCUAAAUCGAGCUGGGAAAAACUAAGAUUGAGCUUGUUGAGCUGAGAUUGAGCUUCAUCUUGCACUUGGGGCCCUCGUGUUUAGGCCAAUCAUGAUAGCAACGAGUGGUGCCACAACAUGAUGCGAUUGAGAUCACAUCAGAUGGGCCUUUCCAAGUACUCGAGAAGAUCAACGACAACGCCUAUAAAAUUGAUCUACCUGGUGAGUACAAUGUAAGUUCUACUUUUAAUGUGGCUGACUUGUCCCCAUUUGAUUUUUCAGAUUCGAGGACGAAUCUUUUUGAGGAAGGGGGAAUGAUACGAGUCAUAAAGGCCCAACCCAAGUUCAAGAAAGUGAUGGGCUCAAAUUGCCACAAGGCCCAAUAACGAGAUCAAAGGCCUGACAAAUGCGGUCCAAACUAAAUGGGACCAUUCAAGAGUUUGUUAGCAAGGCCUUAGAUGCAUACACGAGAGAACAAGAAAAUCAAGAUUCACUUUCUUGUUUUCAAGAAAAUCAAGAAACCGAAUCUUGGCCCAAUUAUGCUGUUCGAAGAGAUUUCAAGAAUCAAGAAAAUCAAGAUUUCAAAUCUUGGAAAUCUUGGUCCAAGAAACCAAAUCUUGCAGCCAACACGCAUUGGAUCUCCGUUACGAGCAUCAACGACCCAAUUUCGGAAGGAGAUGGAUCACGAGCCCAAAUUCUUGAAGGUGAGGCCCAAUAACCAAAUUCCAGCCCAAUCAAGUAAUUCCUUCAUAUUUAGUUGAAAAUUAGGCCAAAAUGUCAAAGGGCCCAAUUUAUAAACAUUUUAAUUAUUUAAUUUAAUUUUUUAAGCUGUAGGAACAUCCAUGUAAAAUUCGGCCCAAAAAUAGCCCAUAUAUAUGCUUGGCCGAAUUUUCCUUUAUUUUAUUCUAUUAAUUAGGUUUAAUUUUAUUAGUUACUUGUUAGAUUAGGAUUACUUGAGGCCUAUUUAAAGGCAUGGCCAGCCACCCCUUGUACAUAACACUUAGAUUCAUUCUUUAAUUUCAGAUUUGAGAGAGCAGAAUUUUCUUUGAGUUUUCUCCAAGAUUUCUCUCUUGAGUUUUCUUUAGAAGUUGUUUUAACAAUCUUUUGAUUGUGGGAGCCAUGUUCAACCUUCUUCUUGCCAUCGAUAUUCUUUGGAGGGGAGAUUAGAGCCGUUUGAAGGAAUUUGUGAAUUCUUUCGGGAAUUCAAGGGUUCUUAGGACUUUUCUUUAUUUCUUGCUGUUUCGUUUUAUUUCUUUAUUCCUACUUGUGCCGAUUCUUUAUCUCAUUUGUUUGCUGUUCUUCUUUUUUUUCUAGCCAUAUUCAACUCAAAGAAUCGAAUUAAAUCAUCAUUCAUUGGCAGCAAAGAGUCGUUCUCAAAAAUCCCCAAUUCUUAGGGUUUGGCCGAUUGGAUCUCCUUCAAUUUGGGGAUCAAUUGAUUGCUGGAAAUUAGGCAUUCUUGGCCGAAUCGAUCCCUUGGCAGAUUCGCAUGCUUUCCAUACUUUCAAUUCCGUUUGAUUCGCUUAUUCUAUUUCUUUGUUUCUUGCUACUCUUUUAAUUGAAUUUGGGGAAUUUCAAUUCAAUUCUGACUUGCUUUUAAUCUUGUUCUUUGUUUUGAAUUCAGAUCUGAUUCAUCUAGAGCUUUCAUAGGAGUUUCUCGUGACUUGGCAACUCGAUCUUGGUCCGCGCGCAACUCUUUAUCACCUUCCCUCAUUCGAAUUUGAUGAUAACCACUUUUUAAAUCAAUUUUUGUAAAUAUAAUUGAACCAUGUAAUUCAUCAAGCAUAUCAUCAAGUCUAGGAAUUGGAUGUCGAUACUUUACCAUUAUUUUGUUGAUUGGGCGACAAUCAACACACAUACGAAACGUACCAUCUUUCUUUGGCACCAAUAAGACAGGAACAACAUAAGGGCUUAGGCUUUCACGGAUGUACCCUUUGUCUAGUAACUACUCAACUUGCCUUUACAAUUCUUUUGUCUCCUCGGGAUUGCAUCUAUAGGCUGGUCGAUUCGGAAUCGAAGCUCCGGGUACUAAGUCAAUUUGAUGUUAAUCCCUCGUAAAGGUGGUAAACCUUUAGGGGCCUCACUAAAAAUAUCCUCAUAAUCCUGCAAAAGAGAUUGAAACACACUAGGCAAAUUUUCGUUAACGUUAGAUAAAGGUAAAUAAUUUUGCCUAAACCUCAUAAGGAUACAAGGCUGUUUAUUGAGUAGGGCUCUCCUCACAUCUUUUUUUGUUGCCAAAAGAAUUUUUUCGCUCAUUUUACCACUUGUUGAUUCACUCACCUUUGGGCUUUUUAAAUUUUGACUUUUUUUACUAUUAGCCUCUUUUCUCUCUGUCUUUUGUAUUUGCUCUUUCUCCCUUACCCCCUUACAAAAUUUUAUCAUCUUCAAUUGAUCUUUGUAUACAUCAAUAGGAUUUAAAGGAGAAAAAGUGAAUUUCUUACCUUUAAAUACAAGGGAGUAUCGAUUAAGUUUACCUUGGUGUGUAACAUCACGAUCAAAUUGCCAAGGCCGUCCAAGAAGCAAAUGUGCAGCAUGCAUUGGGACCACAUCACACCAUACUUCAUCCUCAUAAUUACCAAUCUUAAAAGUGACCAAGGACUGUUUCGUAACUUUGACUUCGGAGCAUUCAUUAAGCCAUUGAAGGUGAUAUGGCUUAGGGUGUUUAGUACAAGGUAACUUUAAAGAAUCCACCAAAUAGCUACUCACUGCAUUCGAGCAACUCCCACUAUCAAUAAUGAUUGAACAUAAGUUACCUUUAAUAAAACACCGAGAAUGAAAAAUAUUGGUCCUUUGGUUGUCAUCAUGAUACAGCCACGCCUCAAGUCCAACCCAGCUCGAGCAAGGAGCCUUUGGAGUUGCCUCAAGGUCCAAUCACCCGAUCACGAGCUAAACAAUUCAAGGAGGCUGUUUCGGCCUUAGUAGAUCAAGUUUAGGGUGAGACUUUGGUUGGACGCAUUGAUGAAGUUUGGACAAACUCGAUGAGCCUUCCUUGCAUUUUGUUACGAGCUGAAUUAAGCUCCACUUCAGCUCAUUAAAUUCGAACUAGCUCAAAAUUAGCUCAAAAUAACUUAGUCAAUAAUAUAGUAGCUGAAAUAAUUAAUUAAGUUAGUUAAAUUAGUUAUUUACAAGCUUAAUUAAUUUUCGUUAUUAAAUUGGUCUUAAAUCUGGUCAAACUUAAUUAUGCAUGAUAUUUUUGUUAUUAUGACAUGUUAUUAAUUUUGUCUUAAUUUAUACAGCUUAUAAAUAUGUUCUUAAGCUUGUUUUUAAUAUGUUAACUUUAUUACUUGUUUUUAUUAUGUCCUAAGGCUGCCGAAUUUAAUGUGCAGCAUUUUAGUGUUAAUUUAAUGUGUCUAAACAUGAAUUUGAAUUAUUUGAUGAAUGUUGCUGCAGGUACAUCAUCCAUGAACGUUUUUGGAGCAUGAAAGGUAUUAAAGGAGGGUACAUGAAGGGGACGGCACAUGCAUGAAUGGGAGAAUGAAGUUGGCUGCUGUUUGAAGUCUCCUAAGUGACCAUUCAGCCGAAUUUACUGCUUACACACUGUUGAAUACAUCAUGGCUGUUCGGAUCAAGGUGUUCACAUUCAAAGACUCUUCAAAACUUGGUUUUCACACUCAAAGUGACUACUCAACAUCUUCUUAAUUGCUGGUAAUUUUUCAGCAAUAGUUGCCAAUUAAAUGAGCUCCUUUAAGCACAUCAACCGAAUGUAGCUGCUGCCAUUUACUCCCUCAAGCUCCAAGUUCAAUUGUCCAUCUAGAAGGUGACCAUUGGAGCUCCAAGUUCAGCCGAAUCUAGCUAUCCCAUUUAAGUAAUUCAUUUGCUUAAUUUUUAAGGAAUUUAAGUGACCAUUCGGCUAGCCUAGUGGAUUAUUAUAAAUAGCUGAAUUUUCACUUUGUAAGGGACUUUUGACAAUUUAAUUAGCGAAUUGCUGCCAAAUUUGUGAGGCAUUUUCUCUCAAAUUUCGUUCGAGACCCGUAAGACUUAUCUAAGCUUUUAGUGGCGUCUUUCCGAGUCUUUUCCAAACUUAUCACUCUUUAAACCUGAGUGUGGCGUUCACCUUUUGAUACGAACUUGUCUCGUGAUGUUUUGAGUCGUAUGUGUUGCCCAAUCGUGAAUUGAGUAGGGAUGGAUUCGUUUCGAUUUUAAAAUGAAAUAAAAUAGAGAUAAUGGCUUCAAACAAAGGUAAUAAACAAAAUAAAGAGGAAACAAUAACAAAUUAAUUGGCUAAGACCGAAAAUGAACCAACAAUAAUGAAUUGUUGACCCGAAUCUCAAAAUGGUCUUUAGGUGUUUUCGGUUAAAGGAAACAGGAAAGGAACCUUGACCCACUAUCAACUAUGAUAGGAACCAAAGGUAUAUUGAACGCCACACCAAAGGUGAUAAGUUCAGCAACAAAGAAAAGAUGGACGCCACAAGCUAUGCUUGAUAAGUCAAAUCAAUUCCGAAAGAACAAAGAGAAUUGGAUAGCUCACAAUUCAAAUAUUUCAUCUAUAUUCAGCAAAAAGUUGUUCCUUCUAUGGCUGAUUACAUCUAUUUAUAAUGCUAGAACAAGGUAAUCGAAUGGUCAAAAACAUCCACUUAAUGUGCCAUAAAAAAUUGAUGUCUUUUCUUAUUCUUUGAACCAAAUAACUCCUUCCAUAAAAUCACUUUAAUUCAGCUGAUUUGAAUGUCUUUAAUGGCUUAGAAAAUGACUCUUGAGUUGUCCCUGGCUAGUUGAAUAGACACCAUCUCUUACCAGCUCCUUAAUGACAUUCAAAGGCUUGAUUAAUUUCUCUUAAAAGCUCCAAAAACGGCUGGAAGUGGAAGAGUUGCUGCUGAAUUUUAAAGGGCAUAAAAUGCUCUUUAAAAACUCCUUUUAAUGAUCUUUAAGCUCCUUUUUUUAACAGCCCCUUUAAUUGUAACUCAAAAGAACUUGAACAGCCACUUAUUAAAUGUGUAACAGCCUUGAAUUGUAACCACUAUAAGCUAAAAAGUCACCUGCAAUAAACACAUUAAAAUGAGUUUAUUAAACACAUUAAAACACUUAUUAAUCAUAACACAUAUUAAACUUACUUAAAUAAAUGAACUAAAACAUAUAUGCAAUUAUUAUUCCAGCAACUAGUUUAAUUAAAGAAGCAUAAUUUAAAGAACUUAAUUUAUGCAUCAAUAAAUAAUCCUAGGAACUAGAUCAAUUAAAAAGCAUCUUAUUUAAUAAAGUUCAAUAACUAACUCAUGUAUUAAAACUUUAAGAUAAGUUAAAUUAAUUGAUCAGCAACUUAUUUAUUAAACUAAAACAAGUUAAUUAAAAGAAACAAAUUCAGCUUGCAAUAAAUUGCAAGUAACGCCUUUUGAACGGUUUGAAGCACGACUAUCAAAUCCGGCCACUCCCUCUUCCCAAGCUCGUUCCACAUAGCUUGCUAUUGCAUUUUGAAAUCUCUUAGCUCGUGAUCGACUUAUUGGUCCUCGUGGCAGCUCAAUGGAUUCGGUAGUAAUUUCCCGGGCUAAGGUUGCAUCAUAAUUUGAGCCCAUCACGUUCUUGGGCUUGGGUUGGGCCUUUGGUAGUUUGAUUCAUACACUUUCUAAUGGUUGAUAUAAACUCUACUAAAGAACUCACAAGACUGAAUUCUACCUCAUUGAGAAUUUGAUGUUUUCUUUUUGAGUGAUUAACGGUGAGGUUUGCUAACUUUUCUUUUUGAGUGUUGAGUGUUUAUUUUGCAGGUCUUUGAAAAUGUCUAAGGUUGGUCAAGGUGAUAAUGAUCAUAAUGAUGUCUACGACACAUUUACAAAAUUCCAACAAUAGUUAGACGAACAAGCUGCCUUACUCAGAACUUUGAGUGCUACUUUAAAUGAGGUACGAUUGAAUCAAGAGCCUCAAUAUCGAGAUCCAAUUAAAGAAGAUAUGGAUAACCAGCCUCCUACUCAUCGGCGUGGUCCUCGACAUGUCCCUAGAACUGACUCUGAUUUUCAUGAUCGUGGGCAACCCUCUUUGGCAAAAUCGAAGUUCACAAUUCCCUAAUUUCGUGGUAAGAAUGAUCCAGAAGCUUAUUGUGAAUGGGAAUAAAAAAUUGAACUUAUGUUUCAAUAUUAUAAAUGUCUGGAUGAUGAAAAGGUAGCAUUAGCAACGCUGGAGUUUUCAGAUUAUGCAUUAAGUUGGUGGACUCAACUUGGGUAAAUCGUCAUCGGAAUUAUGAAGGUGAGAUUUUGACAUGGGAUGAGUUGAAACAGAUUAUGCGUGAAAGAUUUAUUCCACCUCACUACUAUAGAGAGAUUAAAACAAAGCUUAGAAGACUUGUUCAAGGUAGUAGGACGGUGGAUGAAUAUUUUAAGGAGAUGGAGAUGCUCAUUCAGAAAGCUAAUGUGGAGGAGGAUGAGGAAACAACUAUGGUUCGAUUUAUUGAUGGUUUGAACAGGCCGAUAGCUAAUACAUUGAGGCUACAAACUUACAUUAAUUUGGAAGAAGCAAUUCACAAAGCCAUUGAGAUCGAGCAACAAUUAAAGGAACAAAGGUUUGGUUCCUUCUCUAUGAUACGAGUCACAAAGGCCUUAGGAUGCGUACACGAAAGAAAGAGAAAAUCAAGAUUCACUUUCUUGUUUUCAAGAAAAUCAAGAAACUGAAUCUUGGCCCAAUCUUGCUAUUUGGAGUGAUUUCAAGAAUCAAGAAAAUCAAGAUUUCAAAUCUUGGAAAUCUUGGUCCAAGAAACCAAAUCUUGCAGCCAAAUUGCAUUGGAUCUCCGUUACGAGCCUCAACGACCCAAUUUCGAUAAGAGAUGGAAUACAAGCCCAAGUUUUUGAAGGCAAGGCCCAAUAAGAUGAGUCCAAGCCCAAACAAGAAGACAAACCAUACUUACUUGAAAUUCAGGCCAAAUUGUCAAAGUGGCCCAAUUUGUAAAGUUUUAUUUUUUAAAUACUUAGUUUAAAUUUUUAUGUAGAUAUUCAGUCCAAGAGGCCCAGUUAAAAUCCCUUGGCUGAAUUUCCAUUUAAAUAUUAAAAUAAUUAGGAGUUUUUUUUAUUUUUAGUUUUCUAAUUAGAUUAGGAAAACACUUGAGAGGCCUAUAUAAAGGCUUGGUCAGCCACCUUGUUAUUCACUUCUCAAUUAUAUUGAAAAUUUCAGAUUUGUUUAAGUACAGAAUUCUCUUUGAGUUUUUCUCCAAGAAUUCUCUCUUGAGUCUUCUUUAGAAGUUGUUUUAACAAUCUUUUGAUUGUGGGAGCCAUCUUCAACCUUCUUCUUGCCAUUGAUAUUCUUUGGAGGGGAGAUUAGAGCCGUUUGAAGGGAGUUGUGGAAUCUUUUAGGAUUUCAAGGCUUCUUAGGACUUAUCUUUUAAUUUCUUGCUGUCAAUUUUUUCUUUUAAAUUCUGCUUGUGUCAAUUUUUUUAAUCACUUUGUUUGUUGUUCUUGUUGCGUUUCAGACUUUCCAAAACUCCAAGAUCUAAUUCGACACUUACUUGGAAAUAAAGAAAUGUUUUUGAUUUCACAAAACCCCCUCUUUUCUUACCGUCCAAUCCCUAGAAUUAGUUUCAAUUGAUUUCGUAAUCUGUUUUAAUUUAUUUGCUGUUUUGUGUUCUUUGAUAGAUUCGGCUGAUUGGAAGUUAAUCUUGGGGCUUAAUUUAAAGAACUUAAUUUAUGCAUCAAUAAAUAAUCCUAGGAACUAGAUCAAUUAAGAAGCAUCUUAUUUAAUAAAGUUCAAUAACUAACUCAUGUAUUAAAACUUUAAGAUAAGUUAAAUUAAUUGAUCAGCAACUUAUUUAUUAAACUAAAACAAGUUAAUUAAAAGAAACAAAUUCAGCUUGCAAUAAAUUGCAAGUAACGCCUUUUGAACGGUUUGAAGCACGACUAUCAAAUCCGGCCACUCCCUCUUCCCAAGCUCGUUCCACAUAGCUUGCUAUUGCAUUUUGAAAUCUCUUAGCUCGUGAUCGACUUAUUGGUCCUCGUGGCAGCUCAAUGGAUUCGGUAGUAAUUUCCCGGGCUAAGGUUGCAUCACCUUUGAUACCUUUGGUUCAUACUUUCCUAAGUAUCGGGUCAAGGUCCUUUUCAACCAUUUCCAAUUCAUUUAGGUCCUAUAAGUUUCGGGUCGACACUUUUCUUUAGUGUUGAUUCAUUCUUGACCUCUUUGAACCAUUACCAAUUCGUACCAAAUACCAUACCAUUUCGUACCAAAUACCAUACCAUUUCGUACCAAUUCCAUACCAUUUCGAACCAAUUCCCAAAUACCAAAACGUACCAAAACCAAAUACCAUUUCUUAAUUAUCCUAAACCGAACUCGUCCAUUCUAUUCAUACCUUUUCGACUUAAACCAAAUCCACAUCCAACUUUGCACGAACUUAUCUUACUUCUUUGAACACAAAUAUAUUCUAACUCUUUCUCGUCAAUUCUACUUCUUCGUUUACGAUCAGGAACUAAACGACUCAAACUCAACUACUAAAUCGAGAUCGUAUCACAUCAUCUUUCAUCUGGAUGUUAAGUGUUCGGCGAACUACAAGGCACGAAAAAUCAGCAAAGUCCCCUUCGUUUGGUGGUUCAACCAACUCUUCGCCAUUAUCACUGUCAUCUACAAGUUCUGGCUUAUCUGGAUCUGUUUUAUCAGAGUCAGAAGUGUACUCACCAUUAUCUUUUAGAAGAAGUAAUCUCGUGUUAGGGCAUUCCCUACUAUAAUGACCACGCCCUUUGCACUUAAAGCAUUCAAUCUCACGAGUCCUCUUCGCACUCGAAUCACCUAAAUUGGGCUGCUUAGAAGGUAUUUGCGUUUUAGCAGGAGCCCCUUUUUCCAAUCUGAUUGCUUGUUACUCAAAGAAGACUUAUUAGUAACAAAAGGUGGUUUUGAACUCUUAAAAUCAAAAUUGGAAUUGUUACCUCGGUAAUAUUGUGAAGUAGAGAUGAUACGGCCACGCCUUGGGCACACUUUUGGACCAGCUCCCUAAGCAUUGUUUGCAAAUCCAUGCAAGCUGAAUUAGUUCAAUUCCUUCUCAUUGAGCUCUGUUUAGCUUGUUUCCAGCUCACUCGAGCUCAAGUCAACUCAUUCAAGCUCAAUUCAGCUCAAUCUUAACCCAAUGAGCUUAUUUUUAGCUUUCUUUAGCUUGCAUUUAUUUUCCUGAAAUAAACCAUUUAAUUUGUCUUUAGUUGAAUUAGUUGUUUAUUUUAAGUUAAUUAAUUUGUUAAAUCUGGACAAAUAAUUAAUUAAGUGUUUUAAUUAUAUCUAAAUUAAAUACUUAAUUAAUUAUGAUGUUUUAAAUAUGUCUGAAAUUGUUAAUGAGUAUGGCCAAAUUUAAUGUGCAAAUUAUUGAGUUCAUAUGCUGCUAAUUUAAUGUGUUUGAAAUGCAUUUAACUUGCUGAUUUAAUUUGCUGUAGGUUCAUGAACGGAUUGGUGUAAUGUAUGGGAGUGUGCAUGCACAAUUGAGGUUCAAUGGAUGGCAUUUAAAGGAGCACAUGCAUUUGGGACGUUCAUGCAAGAGGGAGUUGCUGAAAGUUCAUGUAUUUGAAGAUUCAUGGAUCAUAUUUAUGGGGGAAAAUACAUGGGACGUUUCAUGCAUGAUUCAUGCGUUUUCAAGAUGACCAUUCAAGUAUUUUAGGCACAUUAAUGCCUCAUUCAGCCAAGGGAGAUAGAUGUAGGAUCAUUAAAGAGCUGCACAUUCAUGGAAUUAUGGAGAUUCUUCAAGGCUAAGGAUGCAUGAAUGCAUCAAGUGAAGCAUCAUGAUGGUUCAGCCAAUUCAUGUACUGAUACAGCCACGCCUCAAGUCCAACCUAGCUCGAGCAAGGAGCCUUUGGAGCUGCCUCAAGGUCCAAUCACCCGAUCACGAGCUAAACAAUUCAAGGAGGCUGUUUCGGCCUUAGUAGAUCAAGUUUGGGGCGAGACUUUGGUUGGACGCAUUGAUGAAGCUUGGACAAACUCGAUGAGCCUUCCUUGCACUUUGUUACGAGCUGAAUUAAGCUCCACUUCAGCUCAUUAAAUUCGAACCAGCUCAAAAUUAUCUCAAAAUAACUUAGUCAAUCAUAUAGUAGCUGAAAUAAUUAAUUGAGUUAGUUAAAUUAGUUAUUUACAAGCUUAAUUAAUUUUCGUUAUUAAAUUGGUCUUAAAUCUGGUCAAACUUAAUUAUGCAUGAUUAAUUGUGUUUUCUUAUAUGUUAUUAAGUCAAAUUAAAUUCCUACAGCUCAUAAAUAAGUCUUAAUACAUGUUUUAAUGUGUCUUGUCCAAACUAAAUUAAUUAGACUUAGUUUAAUUAAUUGAGUUUUGUUUUAAUUAUUUGGAUUAAUGUUGUCUAAAUUUCGUUUUUAAUAUGAUUUAGCUGAAUAAUGAUCAACUAAAUUCAUUUGUUCAUGUUGUGUAGGUUGGCCGAAUGUGGGUGGAAGCAUUUAAGCUAGGUGCAUGCAUCAUAGGUUCAAUGAAUGUGGCGUUACAUGCAUGAGGAAUGUUCAGCUGAUUUUAAAUGAUUCAAGAACCAGCAUAAUGACCGUUCACACAUGAAGUUCACACUCUUGGCUUUUCGGUUUUGGAAUGUUCACACACAAAGACUCUUUGAAACCGAGUGUUCACACUUCAUUUGGCCAUUCAAAUCCCUCUUAAUGGCUGGUCACUUUUCAGCAAAAGCUACAAAUUAAAUGAGCUUAUUUAUGCACAUUGACCGAAUCUAGCUCAUCCAUGCACCAUUCAAGUUGUCCAAGGUUCAAUGUGAAUUCUAGAAGCUUUCCAAGUUCAGCCGAACCUAGCCAAGCCAUUGAAGAAUUCAUUAGCUUAGUUUUUAAGAAAAUGUAUGUGACUAUUCGGCUAACUUAGUUGCUGAUUAUAAAUAGCUGAAAUUUCAUUUUGUAAAGGACUUUUGACAUUUUUAAGUAACGAAUUGCUGCCAAAUUUGUGAGGCAUUUUCUCUCAAAUUUCGUUUGGGACCCGUAAGACUUAUCUAGCUUCUAGUGGCGUCUUUCUGAGUCUUUCUUUCGAACUUAUCACUCCCUAAACCCGAGUGUGGCGUUCACCUUUGAUACCUUUGGUUCAUACUUUACUAAGUAUCGGGUCAAGGUCCUUAUCAACCAUUUCCAACUCAAUUUGGUCCUAUAAGUUUCGGGUCGACACUUUUCUUUAGUGUUGGUUCACUCUUGACCUUUUUGAACCAUUACCAUUUCGUACCAAUUCCCAAAUACCAAAACGUACCAAAACCCAAAUACCAUUUCUUAAUUAAUCCUAAACCGAACUCAACCAUUCUAGUCAUACCAUUUCGACUUAAACCAAAUCCAUAUCCAACUUUGCACGGACUUACUUUACUUCUUUGAACUCAAAUAUAUUCUAUCUUCUUCUUGUCUAAUAUACUUCUUCAUUUACGAUCGGGAACUAAACGACUCGGGUUCAACUACUGAACCGAGAUCGUAUCAUUUGGUAUCAGAGUUGGUAAAAACGAAAAGUACGAGCACUCGAAGUCAAUUUGAAAUAGGUACGUAAAAAACAAAAAAGGAGUUCGAAAAAAAAAAUUGAAAAAAAAAUUCUGAAAAAAAAAUUGCAUACGGUUUAGGUGCGGACGAAAAGAACGUGAAAGAUCCGUAAAAAAAAAGAGUCUGGAGACACUUCAAUAGAAAUUUUUCCAAAAUCUCAUUCUACACUCUUUUAUAUCCCCCGUAGUGAAAUUUCACGCAAUUAAAAAAAAAUUCGAUAUAAAAAAAAAGUGUUUCGAGUUUGUAAGUUUGACAUUCUCUUCUAUUCAUCUUCUAAGCCACACUUAGCCUAAAGCCUUUCUUGUUUCUUUUAGCCUACCCGUAACCUAACAUCAAUCCCUUGUAAAGCCAUUUGAAGCCGACCCACUGAACUAAGACUAAGUCACUACGAGUCACUUACGAAAUCACGAGAGGAAAGUGAGUGGUAAAAGGCACGAGAGUUACAUCAAGUUAAAAGCCAAAAUUGAGUGAAACACGAGUGGAGUGUUUAUUCUUUCUGUGAGAGAUUUUGUGAGGGUUUUGCUGUGAGGUUUUUAUUUACAUGUCUCAAAGUCCUGAACGAAAUAUGGCGGAAGGAGGUGGAAGGCAACCAAUCCGAAACAUUGCGCCUGGAGGAGGUGGAGUGCCGGAUUUGGCUCAACAAGCCUUGUUACGAGAAAUCCAACGCAUGAUCCGAGGUGAGUUAGAAUCUAUUAACGAACGGUUGGAUCGAGUUGAAUUGGGAAAUCAACAAGAGCGUACACCCCAAGGGCCGCAAAGAGGGCGAGACCAAUUGGAAAUCAAUCAAGACGACCUAUACGAUCCGAAUGAAGUCGAAAGUGAUCAAGGAUCAAACAUAAGUGAAGGAUGAAGAGGUCAAAGGAACCGAGGUAAUCGAAAUCAAAGACAUAUGGAUGACGACUUAAGGAACAUUAAACUAUCCAUUCCAUCCUUUCAAGGAAAGUCUGAUCCGGAAGCUUACUUGGAGUGGGAAAAGAAGAUUGAAUUGGUCUUCGAUUGUCACAACUAUUCCGAGAUCAAAAAGGUGAAGUUGGCGGCCAUAGAAUUCUCCGAUUACGCUAUGAUAUGGUGGGAUCAACUCACUACGAGCCGAAGAAGGAAUGGGGAACGACCAAUAUCCACUUGGGCCGAGAUGAAGGCCGUGAUUGAUACGACCAUGCCCCGGGCACACUUUUGGAUCAGCUCCCUAAGCAUUGUUUGCAAAUCCAUGCGAGCUGAAUUAGUUCAAUUUCAUUUCGUUAAGCUCCGUUUAGCUCGUUUCCAGCUCACUCGAGCUCAAGUCAACUCACUCAAGCUCAAUUCAGCUCAAUCUUAACCCAAUGAGCUUAUUUUUAGCUUUCUUUAGCUUGCAUUUAUUUUGCUGAAAUAAACCAUUUAAUUUGUCAUUAGUUAAAUUAGUUGUUUAUCUUAAGUUAGUUAAUUUGUUAAAAUCUGGACAAAUAAUUAAUUAAGUGUUUUACUUAUAUCUAAAUUAAAUACUUAAUUAAUUAUGAUGUUUUAAAUAUGUCUAAAAUUGUUAAUAUGUAUGGCCAAAUUUAAUGUGCAAAUUAUUGAGUUCAUAUGCUGCUAAUUUAAUGUGUUUGAAAUGCAUUUAACUUGCUGAUUUAAUUUGCUGCAGGUUCAUGAACGGAUUGGUGCAAUGUAUGGGAGUGUGCAUGCACAAUUGAGGUUCAAUGGAUGGCAUUUAAAGGAGCACAUGCAUUUGGGACGUUCAUGCAAGAGGGAGUUGCUGAAAGUUCAUGUAUUUGAAGAUUCAUGGAUCAUAUUUAUGGGGGAAAAUACAUGGGACGUUUCAUGCAUGAUUCAUGCAUUUUCAAGAUGACCAUUCAAGUAUUUUAGGCACAUUAAUGCCUCAUUCAGCCAAGGGAGAUGUAGGAUCAUUAAAGAGCUGCACAUUCAUGGAAUUAUGGAGAUUCUUCAAGGCUAAGGAUGCAUGAAUGCAUCAAGUGAAGCAUCAUGAUGGUUCGGCCAAUUCAUGUACCAUCUUCAAGCAUGAACUGGAUUUUAAUGCUAUUUGUGUGAACAUGUUAAAUACCUGUGUGAACAGAAUUUAAGUUAGUGUGAACAACAUAGAUGUCGAAUAUCAAUAGGCAUUUUAGGCUUAUAAAUAGCUUACUUGUUUAUUGUAAAAGGUUACAGAGUUUGAUCAAUUAAACUUAAUAGAACUUUUGUUCUUGUGAGGUUACCUCCUCUCUUCUUUCGUUCGAGUCUCGAAGCGACUUAUCUAGCUUGCUAGUGGUGUCAAUCCGAACUCCAUUGAACUUAUCACCGAAUCGGUGUGGGAUUCAACCAUCUUCCUAUACCUUUGGUUCUUACCUCCAUAUAGGUAACGGGUCAAGGUCCGCUUCUAUCCUUCAUCAAAAUUCACCUUAAGCAAUAUAAGACUCGGGGCAAUACUUUUUAGUAUUGAAUCAUUCUUAAAGUUUGAGUUCUUUAUCCAUUUCCAUUUAUUUAUCAUCUUUGUAACUUAAUUCUUUGUUAAACCGAACCUAUCUUUCAUCAAACCAAAACCCAUCAUUUGAACCCAUUUUGCCUACCUUCCGCUUAUAAAACAUUCAAACUCCAUCUAUCUACAAAUUUGAACGAGCUUCUCAUUGACGAUCGGGCAUCUUAAGUGAACCCGACUCAAUUAAUCAGGCCGGAUCACAUCAUUUGGUAUCAGAGCUUGCAAAAUGAUGAGCACCGACGUUCGUAGCAAUCUCGAAAGAUAGGUUUGUAAAAAAAAAGUUUCAAAAAAAAAUCAAAAAAAUCUCGAGUUGUAAUUUUAUUUUAUUUUCUCUUUUCUUUAUUGUAUUUACCUUACUAUUGUAUUGGAGUGUAAAAAAAAUCAAAAUUAAAAAAAAAAAGAAGUGAGCAAAAAAAGAAAAGAAAAAAACAAAAAAAAGUGAAAAGUCUUGUGAGUUUUAUUUUCAUCUCUUAUUACUCCGAUCAUCAAGUUUCCCUUCCUACCAUUAUUUACCCAUCCCAACGCCACACUUUAAACCAAUUUUCUUCUUUAUUCAGCCUACCCUACACCCGACAUUAUCCCUUGUAACCAAUUUGAAACCGACCCUCAAGCAGCAAAUUAAGUCUACCGAGACAAAUCACGAAAUUGUGAGAAGAGGUUGAGUGGAAAAAGGCACGAGUGAAAUUACAUCAAAGAAAAAGCCAAAAUUUGAAUGUAAACACGAGUGCGAGUGAAAAUCAUUAUUUCCUUUUCGAGCGAAUUUGUGAGGUUUGUGGUAAGGUAUUUAUUUUCUUUAUUAUUUUUUUCUAACAUCUUCUUGUCAUUACUUAAUCAUGUCUCGAGAAACAUUUCUCGAAUCAGAAUUCCAAUAUUUGAUGCAAGAGAUGCGUAGAAUGGUGAAAUCAAAAUUUGAUAAAUUGCAUGAUCGAUUGGAUCGAGUGGAGGAAAGAGCCCGAUGGAAGCCAAACUCACCGGGUGAAGAGACGGAGACAAGAUCAUCACGAAGGCACACAUCCAUUGAUUUUUUGGGAAGAGAUUCAUACCAUGAUUCCUAUUCAACGAGGAACUCAAGACGAAGCAAAGCAAGUUUUGAGUUUAAAGCUUUCCGAGGUGACGAACGAGAAAUCACAAGUAGUCCUUCGUAUGCACCGAGGUAUUCGUCCGCAAAGAAUCAAUCUCGAAGAGGUGAUCAUUUUUUGUAUGAAAGUUGUUCCAAUUAUACCCAACGAGAGUCAUUUCGUGCUGAUUCAUUUGUAACAUCUCCAUCCUAUAAUGAAAGAGUGAGGCAAAAAGAAAAAGAAAUAAGAAGAAAGGAAAGACAAGAAAUGUUGAUGAGAGAAAAUGAGCAUAUAUGGAAUGAAAUCGAGAGACGAAAAAAAAGAAAGGAAAGAAAAGGAACAAGAAAUUGAAAAAGAGAGUGAGAUUGAAGAAAGAAACGAGAGUGUAAAAGAAACGAGUGUCAUGGAAAAAGAAAUUGAGAUUGAAAAAGGAUGUGAAAAAGAGAAAGAAAUCGAAAAAGAAAUUGAGAUUGAACAAAAGUGUGAGGAAAAAGAGAAAAUUGAAAAAGAAAGAAAAGACAAUGAGUUAGAAAAACAAACGAGAGAAAAGGAGGCAAAAGAGCAAGAAAAAGUGAGGAAUCUGUUUACUAAACCACAUGAGAAUUUGUCUUGUUUUGUUUCCUCUUUUCAGGUCUUCGGAAGGCCAAGUGACGAAAAUUUUCAACUCCAAUACCUCUCGAAGGAGAGAAGGUUUAUUUUGGCUGAAAAAGGUAAUGUUCUCAACGAUCCUAGUUCGCCUAUGCCAAAAGGUAAGCAAGGUAUGAAUGUUGAAAAUUUUAAAGCACUUCUGCCUUACUCGAUUGUUGAUGGACACACUGUUGAUGAUUUGGUCUUUAGAAAGAAUCUAAACUUUGACGUGGCUACUUGUCAUUCUUUGAUUGAUGAUGACCCAUUUGUUUUGUCUGAUGAUAAAAAGAUUCUUGCUUUUGAAAAAUAUUAUUUUCUUGAUGAUAUUAGUUGUUUGUCUUUAACUUGCAAUGGAAUACAUGUUUUGGAUCCGCAAGAUGAAAGUCCAUAUAAAAUGUUCAUUCUCACUGAUCAUGUUGAAAAGGAAUGGAAAUGUAUUGAUGAAUACGCCAUUGGCAAGAUUUUUGAUGAAGAGCGAAUAAAUCAGCACCAACAAAAUCUAGAAUUGUGUGAUCAAAAGUUGACAUAUCAUCUGCUUGGUUGUGUUGAUCAUGUGGAUUAUCUAAUUUUUGGUGUGAAAUUUCCAUGGUUUUGUAAAUCUUUUCGAAUGAAAUUUAAAGGGUUUGCUUGUUUGAAUUUGAGUAUGUUAACACCCUCGUUGUUUAAUUUGUGUAAAUUGUUGGAGAUAAAAGGACUCUUUUUGCCAUUUGGAUCGAGUAGUCAAAAUCAUGUCUUUAAUCCUGGAGUUUGCUAUUAUGAAUCAUCCAUGAAAGAAAUCAAGCAUCGUAAAAUUUGUUUGAAUGAAUGUGUAAACAAUCUUGUUUGUAUGAUACUUUGUCUUUAAGUUUGAAAAUGAGCCAUGUGAAUCUUGUUGGUUUGUUAAGUCAAAAUCAAAAUUUUGUUUUCGGAGGAUGUUCUCAACUGUGGACUAAAAGAUCCGAACAUGUUUUGAAUGAUAAUGAUUUUGAGUUGCUUAGUGCUCUUUCUAUAAGUCGGUCAUGAAAUUGCCAAAUCAAAUUGAAAUGGCAAGAGAAAAUUUUGUCUUUGACCCCGGUGAACACCAUUCUAUAUCAUUGCCUAAGGUAAUCGAACCAUGGAAAGUUGACUUCCAAAACCAUAGCUAUCAAAUGCCUUGUGAUUUAUGUUUGUUUCCAUCGAAGAAAAAGGUAAGAACGAUUUCUAUUUUCGACCCCGGUAUUGGAUUAUUUGUUCAAACUGUGAAUCAAAUCUCAAAAAGUUCCUUUGUGUUUAAUCUUCAUCGUGUCACUAAUUCGUUUUAUUCUUUUAAAGGUGACAAUGUGAAGUGGUACCCUCCUAAAGAGGGAGGGCAUGCGAAUGAGCUUCUUUUGAUCCGAGUUAAUUGUGGCUUUCAGAAUCUUCAACGAUUUUUUGCGAGUAAAUGGCCCGAUUUGGGGACAAAUAGCUUUAAAGAGGGAGGGGAUGAUACGACCAUGCCCCGGGCACACUUUUGGAUCAGCUCCCUAAGCAUUGUUUGCAAAUCCAUGCGAGCUGAAUUAGUUCAAUUUCAUUUCGUUAAGCUCCGUUUAGCUCGUUUCCAGCUCACUCGAGCUCAAGUCAACUCACUCAAGCUCAAUUCAGCUCAAUCUUAACCCAAUGAGCUUAUUUUUAGCUUUCUUUAGCUUGCAUUUAUUUUGCUGAAAUAAACCAUUUAAUUUGUCAUUAGUUAAAUUAGUUGUUUAUCUUAAGUUAGUUAAUUUGUUAAAAUCUGGACAAAUAAUUAAUUAAGUGUUUUAAUUAUAUCUAAAUUAAAUACUUAAUUAAUUAUGAUGUUUUAAAUAUGUCUAAAAUUGUUAAUAUGUAUGGCCAAAUUUAAUGUGCAAAUUAUUGAGUUCAUAUGCUGCUAAUUUAAUGUGUUUGAAAUGCAUUUAACUUGCUGAUUUAAUUUGCUGCAGGUUCAUGAACGAAUUGGUGCAAUGUAUGGGAGUGUGCAUGCACAAUUGAGGUUCAAUGGAUGGCAUUUAAAGGAGCACAUGCAUUUGGGACGUUCAUGCAAGAGGGAGUUGCUGAAAGUUCAUGUAUUUGAAGAUUCAUGGAUCAUAUUUAUGGGGGAAAAUACAUGGGACGUUUCAUGCAUGAUUCAUGCAUUUUCAAGAUGACCAUUCAAGUAUUUUAGGCACAUUAAUGCCUCAUUCAGCCAAGGGAGAUGUAGGAUCAUUAAAGAGCUGCACAUUCAUGGAAUUAUGGAGAUUCUUCAAGGCUAAGGAUGCAUGAAUGCAUCAAGUGAAGCAUCAUGAUGGUUCGGCCAAUUCAUGUACCAUCUUCAAGCAUGAACUGGAUUUUAAUGCUAUUUGUGUGAACAUGUUAAAUACCUGUGUGAACAGAAUUUAAGUUAGUGUGAACAACAUAGAUGCCGAAUAUCAAUAGGCAUUUUAGGCUUAUAAAUAGCUUACUUGUUUAUUGUAAAAGGUUACAGAAUUUGAUCAAUUAAACUUAAUAGAACUUUUGUUCUUGUGAGGUUACCUCCUCUCUUCUUUCGUUCGAGUCUCGAAGCGACUUAUUUAGCUUGCUAGUGGUGUCAAUUCGAACUCCAUUGAACUUAUCACCGAAUCGGUGUGGCGUUCAACCAUCUUCCUAUACCUUUGGUUCUUACCUCCAUAUAGGUAACGGGUCAAGGUCCGCUUCUAUCCUUCAUUAAAAUUCACCUUAAGCAAUAUAAGACUCGGGGCAAUACUUUUUAGUAUUGAAUCAUUCUUAAAGUUUGCGUUCUUUAUCCAUUUCCAUUUAUUUAUCAUCUUUGUAACUUAAUUCUUUGUUAAACCGAACCUAUCUUUCAUCAAACCAAAACCCAUCAUUUGAACCCAUUUUGCCUACCUUCCGCUUAUAAAACAUUCAAACUCCAUCUAUCUACAAAUUUGAACGAGCUUCUCGUCGACGAUCGGGCAUCUUAAGUGAACCUGACUCAAUUAAUCAGGCCGGAUCACAUCAGUGAUGCGACGUCGUUUCAUUCCCUCCUACUAUCAUCGGGAACUCUAUCAAAAGCUUCAAAAUCUCACUCAAGGUUCAAAGAGUGUUGAGGAUUAUUUCAAAGAUAUGGAGAUCGCAAUGAUCCAAGCCGAUGUCCAAGAAGAUCGUGAAGCAACAAUGGCGCGAUUCCUUGCUGGUCUCAACUGAGAUAUCGCUAACAAUGUGGAACUCCAACAUUAUGUUGAGAUAGUAGACAUGGUACACAUGGCCAUUAAGGUGGAGAAGCAACUCAAGCGAAAGAGUACCACUCAAAGUUUUCCUACCCCAAGCACAACUAGAUGGGGGCAAAGUUUGAGUAAAACUAAUCCACCAAUCCGUGCCAAAGAGCCAAUGGUGCCUACCAAAGCAAACAAACCUAUGGGCGAUACGAGCAAAGGUAAGGCAACCGAUUCAUUUGCUAAUCGUUCAAGAGAUAUUAAGUGUUUUAAGUGCCUUGGAAGGGGCCAUAUUGCGAGUCAAUGUCCCAACCGCAAUGUCAUGGUGGUUCGAGCAAAUGGAAAAAUCGAAUCGGAGGAGGAAGAACUUGAAGACGAGCCCAAAAUCAUUUCUGAAAACGAUGAAGAAGUUGAACACGCUCUUGAUGGAGAACUCCUCGUUGUUAAAAGAAGUCUAAGCAUCCAAAGCAUCGACGAUGAACAACAACGAGAGAACAUCUUCCAUACUUGUUGUCAAGUACAAGGAAAGCUAUGUAGUGUCAUCAUCGAUGGAGGAAGUUGUACGAACGUAGCGAGCACUCUUAUGGUGGAAAAAUUAAAUCUACCAACCACCAAGCAUCCAACUCCGUACAAACUUCAAUGGCUCAACGAUGGAGGAGAGUUAAAGGUGACAAAGCAAGUUCUAGUCUCCUUUUCCAUUGGAAAAUAUUCCGAUGAAGUGCUUUGCGAUGUUGUUCCGAUGCACGCGGGUCACUUGUUAUUGGGCCGUCCAUGGCAAUUUGAUCGUCGAGUUAUGCACGAUGGUUACUCAAAUCGAUAUUCUUUCAAGCAUCUGGGGAGAAAUGUAACCUUAGCACCAUUGACGCCAAAGUAAGUUUAUGAGGAUCAACUUAAGUUGAAAAAUUCUGUAGAUCAAAUGAGAGAAAAAGAAAAGAGCGAAAAUACAAAAGAAAAGAAAAAUUAAAAAAAAAGAAAAUUAAAAAAAAGAGAAUGAAAAGAGAGCGAUAAAAGAAGAAAAAGAAAAAGUGAGUGAAAAAUUGAAUGUCUUUGCAAAAGCAAAUGAUGUUCGAAAAGCGUUUUUGGCAAAACAAUCGAUCCUUGUACUUAUGUAUAAGGAAAAUUUGUUUAAUACUAACGACUUAUCCGGAGAUCCCCCUUCUUCUGUUUUGUCUCUCUUGCAGGAUUUCAAAGACGUUUUUCCGGAUGAAGUGCCAAGUGGUUUGCCACCACUUCGUGGGAUUGAGCACCAAAUCGAUUUUAUGCCCGGAGCUGUUAUUCCUAAUCGGCCAGCAUACCGAACCAAUCCCGAAGAAACCAAAGAGCUUCAACGUCAAAUCAACGAACUCAUGGAAAAGGGCUAUAUUCGAGAGAGCCUUAGCCCAUGCGCUGUACCGGUUUUGUUGGUACCAAAGAAGGACGGAACAUGGCGCAUGUGCGUCGAUUGCCGUGCCGUAAAUAAAAUCACCAUCAAGUAUAGGCAUCCCAUACCGCAUUUAGAUGAAAUGCUCGAUGAGUUAAGUGGUGCCGAGUUAUUCUCAAAAAUUGAUCUCAAAAGCGGAUACCAUCAGAUUUGAAUGCGCGAAGGUGACGAGUGGAAAAUCGCUUUUAAAACGAAACAUGGUUUGUAUGAAUGGUUGGUAAUGCCAUUCGACUUAACCAACGCCCCUAGCACUUUUAUGAGACUUAUGAACUAUGUUUUAUGAAAUUUCAUUGGUAAGUUUUGCGUUGUGUAUUUUGAUGAUAUCCUCAUUUAUAGCAAAUCGAUGGAUGAGCAUGUAAUUCAUUUGCGAGCUGUUUUGGAAGUUCUUAGAAAAGAGACUUUGUAUGCUAAUCUUAAAAAGUGUACAUUUUGUUCUGACAAAGUUAUCUUUUUAGGUUUCGUGGUUAGCUCGGAGGGCCUCGAAGUAGAUAGCGAAAAGAUUAAGGCGAUUAAAGAAUGGACGAGACCGAUGAGCAUAAGCCAAGUGCGAAGCUUCCAUGGCCUAGCAAGUUUCUAUAGGCGAUUUGUACCCAACUUUAGCACGUUGGCUGCACCGUUGACAAGCACUAUCAAGAAGAAUUCGACUUUUCAUUGGGGCGAAGAGCAAGAAAAUUCUUUUAAUAUUAUUAAAGAUUGUCUUACUAAAGCUCCGUUGUUAGCACUGCCUGAUUUUUCUAAAACAUUUGAAAUUGAGUGUGAUGCCUCAGGUGUUGGAAUAGGUGCCGUGUUAACUCAAGACGGGAGGCCGAUCGCUUACUUUAGUGAAAAGUUGAAUGGUGCCAUGCUAAACUACCCCGUUUAUGACAAGGAGAUGUGUGCACUUAUCCGCGCUCUCGAGACUUGGCAACACUAUUUGUGGCCGAAGGAGUUCGUGAUCCAUUCGGAUCAUGAAGCGUUAAAGCACAUUAAAGGACAACACAAAUUAAACAAACGCCAUGCUAAGUGGGUAGAGUAUUUGGAGUCAUUUCCCUAUGUCAUUAAGUAUAAAAAGGGUAAGGAAAAUAUCGUAGCUGAUGCUCUUUCAAGAAGGUAUACCCUUUUGUCGUAUUUGGACUCUAAACUGCUUGGUUUUGCAUUGUUAAAAGAUUUAUAUCCUGCUGCUGAUGAUUUUGGAGAAAUAUUUGUUGCUUGUGAAAGUGUUGCUAUUGAUAAGUUUUAUAGGAGCGACGGAUUCCUUUUUAGAGAAGGAAAAUUAUGUGUGCCGCGGAGUUCCAUACGAGACCUAUUAGUACAUGAGACGUAUGGCGGAGGCCUUAUGGGCCAUUUUAGCAUUGGAAAAACCUUAGCAACCCUCCAAGAGCAUUUUUAUUGGCCGAAAAUGAAAAGGGACGUUGAACGAGUGUUUGCGCGAUGUGUGACGUGCAAGAAGGCCAAAUCCAAGAUUAAGCCGCACGGGUUGUAUACGCCGCUCCCUAUACCCGACGCACCUUGGGAGGACAUUUCCAUGGAUUUUGUCCUUGGAUUGCCUAGGACUAAAACGGGAAAGGACUCUAUUUUUGUUGUUGUUGAUCGCUUUUCCAAAAUGUCUCAUUUUAUUUCUUGUUCAAAAACUGAUGAUGCCAUUCACAUUGCUAAUCUUUUCUUUAAGGAAAUUGUUCGUUUGCAUGGCAUCCCGAGGACAAUUGUUUCUGAUCGAGAUGCGAAGUUUUUGAGCCAUUUUUGGAGAUCGCUUUGGGGAAAGCUUGGAACUAAGUUGUUGUUUUCAACCACUUGCCACCCCCAAACAGAUGGACAAACGGAAGUGGUCAACCGAGUGCUAUCAACUUUGUUACGAGCCAUCAUACGAAAAAAUCUUAAGUCAUGGGAGGAGUGUUUGCCACAUGUAGAAUUUGCGUAUAAUUGAUCCAUUCACUCGGCAACCAAACACUCUCCUUUUGAAAUUGUUUAUGGAUUUAAUCUGUUAACUCCUUUAGAUUUAGUAUCUUUACCUAAAGAUCAACUUAUUCAUGCAGAUGCUAAAAAGAAGGCCGAGUAUGUAAAGGAGUUACAUCGGAAAGUUCGAGCCAACAUUGAAGCAAGAACCGAAAGUUAUGCUAGGAAAGCGAACAAGGGUCGUAAAAGAAUUAUCUUCGAACCUGGUGAUUGGGUUUGGGUUCACAUGAGAAAGGAACGUUUUCCCGCCCAACGAAGGUCAAAGCUACUACCGCGUGGUGAUGGCCCUUUUCAAGUCUUGGAACGAAUCAACGAGAAUUCUUAUCGACUUGAUCUACCAGGUGAGUACAACAUAAGUGCAAGUUUUAAUGUCUCUGACUUAUCCCCUUUUGAUGCAGAUUCCGAUUUGAGGGCAAAUCGCUUUGAAGAGGGGGAGGAUGAUACAGCCACGCCUCAAGUCCAACCUAGCUCGAGCAAGGAGCCUUUGGAGCUGCCUCAAGGUCCAAUCACCCGAUCACGAGCUAAACAAUUCAAGGAGGCUGUUUCGGCCUUAGUAGAUCAAGUUUGGGGCGAGACUUUGGUUGGACGCAUUGAUGAAGCUUGGACAAACUCGAUGAGCCUUCCUUGCACUUUGUUACGAGCUGAAUUAAGCUCCACUUCAGCUCAUUAAAUUCGAACCAGCUCAAAAUUAUCUCAAAAUAACUUAGUCAAUCAUAUAGUAGCUGAAAUAAUUAAUUGAGUUAGUUAAAUUAGUUAUUUACAAGCUUAAUUAAUUUUCGUUAUUAAAUUGGUCUUAAAUCUGGUCAAACUUAAUUAUGCAUGAUUAAUUGUGUUUUCUUAUAUGUUAUUAAGUCAAAUUAAAUUCCUACAGCUCAUAAAUAAGUCUUAAUACAUGUUUUAAUGUGUCUUGUCCAAACUAAAUUAAUUAGACUUAGUUUAAUUAAUUGAGUUUUGUUUUAAUUAUUUGGAUUAAUGUUGUCUACAUUUCGUUUUUAAUAUGAUUCAGCUGAAUAAUGAUCAACUAAAUUCAUUUGUUCAUGUUGUGUAGGUUGGCCGAAUGUGGGUGGAAGCAUUUAAGCUAGGUGCAUGCAUCAUAGGUUCAAUGAAUGUGGCGUUACAUGCAUGAGGAAUGUUCAGCUGAUUUUAAAUGAUUCAAGAACCAGCAUAAUGACCGUUCACACAUGAAGUUCACACUCUUGGCUUUUCGGUUUUGGAAUGUUCACACACAAAGACUCUUUGAAACCGAGUGUUCACACUUCAUUUGGCCAUUCAAAUCCCUCUUAAUGGCUGGUCACUUUUCAGCAAAAGCUACAAAUUAAAUGAGCUUAUUUAUGCACAUUGACCGAAUCUAGCUCAUCCAUGCACCAUUCAAGUUGUCCAAGGUUCAAUGUGAAUUCUAGAAGCUUUCCAAGUUCAAUCGAACCUAGCCAAGCCAUUGAAGAAUUCAUUAGCUUAGUUUUUAAGAAAAUGUAUGUGACUAUUCGGCUAACUUAGUUGCUGAUUAUAAAUAGCUGAAAUUUCAUUUUGCAAAGGACUUUUGACAUUUUUAAGUAACGAAUUGCUGCCAAAUUUGUGAGGCAUUUUCUCUCAAAUUUCGUUCGGGACCCGUAAGACUUAUCUAGCUUCUAGUGGCGUCUUUCCGAGUCUUUCUUUCGAACUUAUCACUCCCUAAACCCGAGUGUGGCGUUCACCUUUGAUACCUUUGGUUCAUACUUUACUAAGUAUCGGGUCAAGGUCCUUAUCAACCAUUUCCAACUCAAUUUGGUCCUAUAAGUUUCGGGUCGACACUUUUCUUUAGUGUUGGUUCACUCUUGACCUUUUUGAACCAUUACCAUUUCGUACCAAAUCCCUUACCAUUUCGUACCAAUUCCCAAAUACCAAAACGUACCAAAACCCAAAUACCAUUUCUUAAUUAAUCCUAAACCGAACUCGACCAUUCUAGUCAUACCAUUUCGACUUAAACCAAAUCCAUAUCCAACUUUGCACGGACUUACUUUACUUCUUUGAACUCAAAUAUAUUCUAUCUUCUUCUUGUCUAAUAUACUUCUUCGUUUACGAUCGGGAACUAAACGACUCGGGUUCAACUACUAAACCGAGAUCGUAUCAUGUACCAUCUUCAAGCAUGAACUGGAUUUUAAUGCUAUUUGUGUGAACAUGUUAAAUACCUGUGUGAACAAAAUUUAAGUUAGUGUGAACAACAUAGAUGCCGAAUAUCAAUAGGCAUUUUAGGCUUAUAAAUAGCUUACUUGUUUAUUGUAAAAGGUUAUAGAAUUUGAUUAUUGAAAACUUGAUUGAGAGGUUUCCUCCUAUCCUAUUUCGUACGAGUCUCGAUCUGACUUAUCUAACGUGCUAGUGGCGUCUAUCAUUCUCUUUUGAACUUAUCACCUUGCAUUGGUGUGGCGUUCUGAUACGCCCUCACCUCGAGAUCGAAUUGAGUCGUAAAGAUCGCCCGAUCGUGAAUUAGGAGUAAAUUGAGGCUUUACAAAAUAGGCUAGAAGAAAGAGGUUUAUUUAGGCUCAAAAAGGUUUUGUUGGUUUAGGAAAUGAAUUAGAAAACAAUGGAAGCAAUUUGGCUGAGGAUUCGAAAGCUGAACUAACUCAAUAGGAAUGUGUUAACCCGUAACUUAGGAGAAUGCUUAGGUUGGUAAGGAUGGAUGGAAGGUUUGUUAAAUGGAAAGAAACUUCGACCCACUAUCAAUGGUGAUAGGAACCUUAGUAUGAAUCGAACGCCACACUUUUGGGAUUAAAGUGAUAAGUUUGGGAAGAAACAAAAACAAGUUUGACGCCACAAAGAUGUUUGAUAAGUCUCACAAGUUUUUGGAGAAUAACGAGAGUUGAAAACAACCUCACAAUUUAGCAAAGCUAUCAAAUUGUUCAUUAACCUCAAAAUGUGAAUUACAUGACCUAUUUAUAGCUUGACUAAGGCAGCCGAAUAGCCUAUCUAAUCAGAUCCUUAUGCCUUAAGUUUCUUGACGAAACUUCCUAGAAAUUUCCUAGUUACAUUCAUGUGAUGAAAUUCUGAAAAUUAACCUUCUAGAAAAAGAUGAUUCGGCUGGCCCCUUUAAUGGAGAAAAUUCACAUUCGGUUAAUGUUUUAAAAGAGCUUAAUUGCUGCUAUGGAGAAGAGAAAUGGACAGCUUCAAAAAUUAUGCUUCUUUGGCCGAAUAUGAAUAGCCUCCACAUGAAUUGGCUGCUGGAAUUUAUGAGGAACUCUUUGGCCAUUUCUCUCCACGAAAUUGGCCCUUGGAGAAGCUUAAAAACAGCAGCUAGAAGUCCAUUGAGCUGCACGAAAAGUCAGCUGGAAACACAAGGCAGCUGCACUUUAAAUGCCAUCCAUGCAUGUGCCCAAAUACAUGCCCCUUCUUUAUGAGCUUUCUUUGUCAUUAAGCUAGCUGAAAAAAACAUCAAAUAAAUGUGAUUAGGACAAGUUUAAUACUCAUGAAAUCAGCAGCUGGACAUAUUAAAAUUCUGCACAUUAAUUCGGCUAAGACAAAUUAAUUAGCAGCACUAAUAAAUUUGUCUUAGUCAAGACACAUUAAAACUUGUAAUUAAACUAAACACAUUUAAUUUAUAACUUAAUAUGGACAUAUUAAAGGCAUGUACUAAUAUAAAACAUAUUUAAUAAGCUGAAUUAAAAAUGUCCAGAUUAAGACACAUUUAUUUAAUUAAAUGAUUUGAGCUGAUUCUAAACUAACACAACUAAUUAAAUUUAUUAAAAAUAAAUUUAAUCAGCUCCUUGAACUAAUUAAGUGCCGAAUUGAGCUAAAUUGAGCUGACACAAGCUAAAAUCAGCUUGUAGGAAAUUGCGAAUCAAGCUAGUUGAGCUGGGCGUUUUAUGGGCAAUCAAUCCAUCACUCCACAAUCGAGCAAUAUAGCUUGCUACAGCAUCUUGGAACUUCUUGGCACAUGCUCGAGUAAUUGGCCCCAAAGGCAACUCCAUGGAUUCGGCACCUAUCUUCAUGGGCGAGCUCAUAUCAUCCUCCCUCUCUUCGAAGCGAUUCGUCCUCGAAUCGUCACCUACAUCAAAAGGAGAAAGGUCAGCAACGUUAAAACUUGCACUCACUGCAUACUCACCCGGUAGGUCAAUCUUGUAGACGUUGUCAUUGAUCCGUUCCAAUACUUGAAAAGGGCCAUCACCCCUUGAUUGAAGCUUGGAUUUCCUUUUAUCGAGAAACCGUUCCUUGCGCAUGUGGAUCCAAACCCAGUCACCGGGUUCGAACACGACUCGUUUGCGCCCUUUAUUUGCCCCUCGAACAUAUUGUUCGGUUCUCCUCUCAAUAUUAUCCUUAACAUUUUUGUGCAAUUGCUUAACAAAUUCGGCCUUCUUUUUGCGAUCUACAUGUACUAAUUCAUUAGAAGGCAUAGGAAUCAAAUCAAGAGGAGUAAUGGGAUUAAAACCGUAUACUACCUCAAAAGGAGAAAAUUUCGUAGCAGAAUGAACGGUUCGAUUGUAUGCGAACUCCACAUGAGGUAAGCAAUCUUCCCACAUCUUCAAAUUCUUUUUCAAAAUAGCUCGAAGCAAAGUUGAUAGCACACGGUUGACUACUUCAGUUUGGCCAUCCGUUUGAGGGUGGCAUGUCGUCGAAAAUAGAAGUUUGGUGCCCAAUUUCCCCCACAACGUCCUCCAAAAAUGACUUAGAAACUUUGUGUCGCGAUCAGAGACAAUGGUUCGAGGGAUCCCAUGCAACCUAACAACUUCCUUGAAAAACAGACUAGCAAUGUUAGUAGCAUCAUCAGUUUUAUUACAAGGUAUAAAAUGGGCCAUUUUUGAAAAACGGUCUACAACAACAAAUAUUGAAUCUCUCCCUCUUUUGGUUCUUGGAAGGCCCAGAACGAAGUCCAUUGAAAUGUCUACCCACGGAGCAUCAGGAAUAGGCAACGGGGUGUAUAAUCCAUGCGGUUUGAUUCGUGACUUUGCCUUCUUACAAGUGAUGCAACAAUCACAUUUCCUUAUUACGUCACGUUUCAUUUUGGGCCAAUAGAAAUGUUCAUGCAAUAUUGCUAAAGUUUUAGCAAUUCCGAAGUGGCCCAUAAGUCCUCCACUAUGAGCUUCUUCUACAAGGACGUUUCUCACAGAACUUUGAGGCACACAAAGCUUGCCUUCACGAAAUAAAUAGCCCUCAUGCUGAAAAUACUUUUCACAAGCACCAUGCGAACAAGACUCAUAAAUUUCACCAAAGUCAGCAUCAGAUUUAUAAAGAUCUUUGAUAAAUUCGAAACCAAGCAAUUUAGAAUCCAUUAAAUUGACAAGUGCAUACAUUCGUGAUAGGGCGUCGGCUACAACAUUUUCCUUACCCUUUUUAUACUUGAUCACGUACGGAAACGACUCCAAAUACUCCACCCACUUGGCAUGACGUUUAUUGAGCUUGGUUUGUCCCUUCAGAUGCUUUAGAGCCUCGUGGUCCGAAUGAAUUACGAAUUCCUUCGGCCAUAAAUAGUGUUGCCAUGUUUCGAGAGCUCGGACCAAUGCAUAUAGUUCCUUAUCAUACGUUGGAUAAUUCAACGUAGCUCCGUUAAGCUUUUCACUAAAGUAUGCAAUAGGCCAUCCAUCUUGCAUCAAAGCAGCGCCAAUGCCGAUACCUGAAGCAUCACACUCUAUCUCGAAUGUUUUGUUAAAAUCAGGUAAAGACAACAAUGGUGCAUUAGUUAGACAUUCCUUAAGCUUAUUAAAAGAAUUUUCUUGUUCAUCAGUCCACACAAAAGGAGAAUUUUUCUUAAUUAUACCUGUCAAGGGGGCAGCUACAGAACUAAAAUUAGGCACAAACCUUCGAUAGAAGCUUGCCAACCUGUGAAAACUCCUCACUUGGCUAAUGUUCGUUGGACGCGGCCAUUCGUUGAUCGCCUUGACCUUUUCUUGGUCAACUUCUAAUCCACGAGCACUUACCACAAAGCCUAGAAAAACAACUUCAUUAGUGCAAAAAGAACAUUUCUUUAAAUUGGCAUAAAGUAUCUCUUUUCGUAAGACUUCAAGCACGGCACGUAGAUGUUGAAUAUGAUCUUCCAAGCUCUUGCUAUAGACUAAAAUAUCAUCAAAAUACACAACACAGAAUUUUCCAAUGAACGAACGUAAAACAUAAUUCAUGAGACGCAUGAAAGUACUCGGAGCGUUGGUAAGUCCGAAUGGCAUUACCAACCAUUCAUACAAACCAUAUUUAGUUUUGAACACAGUUUUCCAUUCAUCUCCCUCCCGCAUUCUAAUUUGAUGAUACCCACUUUUUAAAUCGAUCUUCGAAAACAAUUGGGCUCCACUAAGUUCAUCAAGCAUGUCGUCGAGGCGGGGAAUAGGAUGGCGAUAUUUUAUUGUGAUUUUGUUGAUAGCGCGGCAGUCAACGCACAUUCGCCAGGAUCCAUCCUUUUUAGGAACCAACAAUACCGGAACCGCGCACGGACUUAAGCUUUCACGGAUGUAACCCUUCUCCAUUAAUUCGGCUACUUGCUUUUCUAAUUCCUUCGUUUCCUCAGGAUUACUUCUAUAUGCUGGCCUAUUUGGAAUUGCAGCACCGGGCACAAAAUCGAUUUGGUGCUCGAUUCCUCGAAUGGGAGGUAGGCCAUUUGGUACUUCUUCAGGAAAAACAUCUCUGAAUUCCUACAACAAAGAAACGAUAGGAGUAGGCAAAGUAUUGUCAAGUUCGUUAGUUUCCAAUAAACACUCUUUAUACAUAAGUACAAAGAUAGGUUGCCUUGCCAACAUCAAUUUUCGAAUCUCUCUUUUUCUAGCAAAAACACUUAUUUUUUUAUUUUCACACUCUUGCUCUUUUUCUUUUGUCACUCUUGUUUUUAUCUCACUCUCCUCAUUCUUUUCUUUCUUUUUCUUUUCACUCUUUUUGUUUUUCUCUUUUUCUUUUUCUCGAUCAAUAGAUUGCUUCAUCUUGAGUUGGUCUUCAUGCACUUGCUUCGGUGUGAGAGGAGCUAAUGUAACAUUCCUUCCAAGGUGCUUAAAUGAAUAUCGGUUUGUAUAGCCGUCGUGGACUACUCGCCGGUCAAAUUGCCAAGGAUGCCCCAAUAGCAAAUGUCCCGCGUGCAUUGGUACGACAUCACAAACCACCUCAUCUUGGUACUUGCCUAUGGAAAACGCCACCCUUGCUUGCUUCGUCACCUUGAGUUCGCCUCCGUCAUUUAGCCAUUGUAACUUGUAAGGAGUUGGAUGCUUUGUGGUGGCUAAACCAAGUUUUUCAACCAGCAAAGAACUUGCGACAUUGGUGCAACUACCUCCGUCAAUAAUUAAACUACACACCUUACCUUGAACAUGGCAACGAGUGUGAAAGAUGUUGUCUCGUUGUUGUUCUUCCUCGGCUACUUGGAUAUUUAAGCUCAUUUUGACAACAAGUAAUUCUCCUUCAACGGGCAGCUCGAGCUCUUCACCUUCCUCCAUGGGAAUUUCAGGCUCCUCCUCUUGUUCAUCUUUGGACUUAAUCUCGCCAUUUGAACGAACCACCAUCACUCGUCGAUUAGGACAUUGACUCGCAAUGUGGCCUCUUCCUUGACACUUGAAACACUUGAUAUCGCGAGAACGAUUCGAGACAGCCUCGUUUUUAUUUUUGCUAGCAUCGGCACUUACUUGAUUGGGUUUCGCAGCAACGAAAGGCUCCUUAGGCCGAUUGGGAGCUUUGCUAGUCCCUUGAGUCCACUUGUUGGUAGAAGUCGUUGGAUAUGUCCGCAUGGGUCCUUUCCGUUUCAAUUGUUUUUCAACUUUUAUUGCCAUAUGCACCAUGUCCAUAACUUCUACAUAGUGUUGAAGCUCGAUGAUAUUGGCAAUAUCCCGAUUUAGGCCGGCUAAAAAUCUCGCCAUUGUUGCUUCACGAUCCUCCUCCACGUCGGCUCUUAUCAUAGCGAUUUCCAUGUCUUUAUAGUAGUCCUCGACAGUUCGGUUGCCUUGUGUGAGAUUUUGCAAUCGUUGGUACAACUCCCGAUGGUAAUAGGAGGGAACAAAAUGCUUGCGCAUAACGGCCUUCAUUUCGGCCCACGUAGAGAUAGGCCUCUCCCCAUUCCUCCUUCGGCUACUCACCAAUUGAUCCCACCACAAGAUCGCAUAAUCCGAGAAUUCAAUGGCAGCGAGCUUUACCUUUUUAUUUUCCGAAUAGUUAUAGCACUCAAAGACGAGUUCCAUUUUCUUUUCCCACUCCAAGUAAGAUUCAGGAUCAUUCUUCCCUUGAAACGGCGGAAUAGACAUCUUAAUAUUUUUGAGAUUGUCAUCCGAACGGUCUCGAUUUCUUGGGACUCGAUUUCGUUGGAACUGUUGAGGGUUUCCUGGUUCAGAUAAGUGAUCACCUUCAGAUUCUUCUUCAUCAAGGUUUUCAAUUGGUUGCUCUCGUCCUCGCCUUGCAUCUUCCAGAGUCACUUCGCGUUGCCUUCGGGUUUCGACUCAAUAUAGGCGGUCUUCGAUUGGUUCAAGCUUGCGAUCAAACAUUCGCUCCAUUUCUUGCAUAAUGGCUUGCAAAGUGAGAUCCGGCACUCCCCUUCCAACGUUUCUUAUUGGACGAAAUCCACCUCCCUCGUUUGGAUUCCUUUCCGGGCUCCGUGACAUUUUUUUUAAAAAAAAAGUUCUUUAAAGAAUCACAACAAGAACUCACCAAUCACUCACAAGAAUAAACACUCACUUUGGCUUUUCUACUCUUUAAUAGUCUCACUAAUCUCUCUUGCCUUUUACCACUCAAUUUUCACUUCCCAAAAUUCUCCGCAAACUAAGUUUGACAAAUCAAAAUCGUUUGGGGUCGGCUUACAAAAUAGAUGAGGCUUGGUAGGGUAAUAUUUUAGGAUCGGGUAGGCUAACAAUCAAAGAAAAUAGAAGGAAAUUAGUGUGGCUGUAUAGAUGUGGUCCUUCGGGCAGCAAGCAAUGCUUUUACAAGCUCAAAAUGAAUUUUAAUCACUUCUCUUUUUUUUCUUUUUCUUUUUUUUUUAAUUCCGAAAUUUUUUUAAUACUGAAUACACAAAGAAAAAGAAAAAAAAAUAAAUUGAAUACAAACUUUUCUUUUUCGAAUUUUUUUUUACAAUCUCGUAAUACCGAAGACGACGAUUCUUACUCCAAUUCAACCUGGCUCUGAUACCAACUUGAUACGCCCUCACCUCGAGAUCGAAUUGAGUCGUAAAGAUCGCCCGAUCGUGAAUUAGGAGUAAAUUGAGGCUUUACAAAAUAGGCUAGAAGAAAGAAGUUUAUUUAGGCUCAAAAAGGUUUUGUUGGUUUAGGAAAUGAAUUAGAAAACAAUGGAAGCAAUUUGGCUGAGGAUUCAAAAGCCGAACUAACACAAGAGGAAUGUGUUAACCCGUAACUUAGGAGAAUGCUUAGGUUGGUAAGGAUGGAUGGCAGGUUUGUUAAAUGGAAAGAAACUUCGACCCACUAUCAAUGGUGAUAGGAACCUUAGUAUGAAUCGAACGCCACACUUUUGGGAUUAAAGUGAUAAGUUCGGGAAGAAACAAAAACAAGUUUGACGCCACAAAGAUGUUUGAUAAGUCUCACAAGUUUUUGGAGAAUAACGAGAGUUGAAAACAACCUCACAAUUUAGCAAAGCUAUCAAAUUGUUCAUUAACCUCAAAAUGUGAAUUACAUGACCUAUUUAUAGCUUGACUAAGGCAGCCGAAUAGCCUAUCUAAUCAGAUCCUUAUGCCUUAAGUUUCUUGAGGAAACUUCCUAGAAAUUUCCUAGUUACAUUCAUGUGAUGAAAUUCUGAAAAUUAACCUUCUAGAAAAAGAUGAUUCGGCUGGCCCCUUUAAUGGAGAAAAUUCACAUUCGGUUAAUGUUUUAAAAGAGCUUAAUUGCUGCUAUGGAGAAGAGAAAUGGACAGCGUCAAAAAUUAUGCUUCUUUGGCCGAAUAUGAAUAGCCUCCACAUGAAUUGGCUGCUGGAAUUUAUGAGGCACUCUUUGGCCAUUGCUCUCCACGAAAUUGGCCCUUGGAGAAGCUCAAAAACAGCAGCUAGAAGUCCAUUGAGCUGCACGAAAAGUCAGCUGGAAACACAAGGCAGCUGCACUUUAAAUGCCGUCCAUGCAUGUGCCCAAAUACAUGCCCCUUCUUUAUGAGCUUUCUUUGUCAUUAAGCUAGCUGAAAAAAACAUCAAAUAAAUGUGAUUAGGACAAGUUUAAUACUCAUGAAAUCAGCAGCUGGACAUAUUAAAAUUCUGCACAUUAAUUCGGCUAAGACAAAUUAAUUAGCAGCCACUAAUAAAUUUGUCUUAGUCAAGACACAUUAAAACUUGUAAUUAAACUAAACACAUUUAAUUUAUGACUUAAUAUGGACAUAUUAAAGGCAUGUACUAAUAUAAAACAUAUUUAAUAAGCUGAAUUAAAAAUGUCCAGAUUAAGACACAUUUAUUUAAUUAAAUGAUUUGAGCUGAUUCUAAUAAACUAACACAACUAAUUAAAUUUAUUAAAAAUAAAUUUAAUCAGCUCCUUGAACUAAUUAAGUGCCGAAUUGAGCUAAAUUGAGCUGACACAAGCUAAAAUCAGCUUGUAGGAAAUUGCGAAUCAAGCUAGUUGAGCUGGGCGUUUUAUGGGCAAUCAAUCCAUCACUCCACAAUCGAGCAAUAUAGCUUGCUACAGCAUCUUGGAACUUCUUGGCACGUGCUCGAGUAAUUGGCCCCAAAGGCAACUCCAUGGAUUCGGCACCUAUCUUCAUGGGCGAGCUCAUAUCACGUUCAACCCUUCUACAAUUCCGCAAAUCCACCUUAACCAAAUAGAAAUCGGGGUGACACUCUUUAGUGUUGAAUCGUUUCUGGUGUUUAAGUUCACUUAUCCAUCCCCACCGAAUAUCUUAUAUUUUAUCUUUAUUAUUUUAUCCUUAAACCGAGCCAAACAAAUUAGCUAUCUUUCUCCAUCCCCUUAUUGUCACACCUAUCCAUAUCCUACUUACCCCUUUGUGAACUUAUAUCCAUCACUUUACUACAUAUUUUUAGCCGAUUACAAACAAACCAUCCUUUUGGUAUGAAACUCCUCAUCGACGAUCGGGCAUCUAUGUGAAACGACUCGAUUAACCUGGGCUGGAUCACAUCAUUUGGUAUCAGAGAUACUAAAACGAGGAGUGCCGACAUUCGUAUCAAGCUCGGAGUAGGUUCGUAACGUAAAAAAAAGUCAAAAAAAAUCAAAAAAAAUUUGAGUUGGAAUUUAAUUUUUUUUCUCUUCCUUGUAUUUUGUUUACUAUUGUAUUGUAUUUUUAAAAAAAAAAGAGAAUAAAUUUAGAAAAAAAAAUUCAAAAAAAAUCAAAAAAAAAAGAAAAAAAAAAGGUGAGCAAAAAAAAUCAAGUUAAAAAAAAGUGAAAAGUCUUGCGAGUUUUUAUUUUCUUAUCUUAUUUACUCCGAUCAUCAAGUUUCCCUUCCUACCAUUAUUUACCCAUUCCAACGCCACACUUUAAACAAAAUUUGUUCUUUGUUUAGCCUACCCUACACCUGACGUUAUUUCCUUUGUAAACCAAUUUGAAACCGACCCUCAACCAGUAAAUUAAGUCUACCAAGACAAAUCACGAAAUUGUGAGAAGAGGUUGAGUGGAAAAAGGCACGAGUGAAAUUACAUCAAAGAAAAAGCCAAAAUUUGAAUGUAAACACGAGUGCGAGUGAAAAUCAUUAUUUCCUUUUCGAGCGAAUUUGUGAGGUUUGUGGUAAGGUAUUUAUUUUCUUUAUUAUUUUUUUUCUAACAUCUUCUUGUCAUUACUUAAUCAUGUCUCGAGAAACAUUUCCCGAAUCAGAAUUCCAAUAUUUGAUGCAAGAGAUGCGUAAAAUGGUGAAAUCAAAAUUUGAUAAAUUGCAUGAUCGAUUGGAUCGAGUGGAGGAAAGAGCCCGAUGGAAGCCAAACUCACUGGGUGAAGAGACGGAGACAAGAUCAUCACGAAGGCACACAUCCAUUAAUUUUUUGGGAAGAGAUUCAUACCAUGAUUCCUAUUCAACGAGGAACUCAAGACGAAGCAAAGCAAGUUUUGAGUUUGAAGCUUUCCGAGGUGACGAACGAGAAAUCACAAGUAGUCCUUCGUAUGUGAUACGAGUCAUAAAGGCCCAAUCCAAGUUCAAGAACGUGAUGGGCUCAAAUUGCCACAAGGCCCAAUAACGAGAUCAAAGGCCCGACAAAUGCGGUCCAAACUAAAUGGGACCAUUCAAGAGCUUGUUAGCAAGGCCUUAGAUGCAUACACGAGAGAACAAGAAAAUCAAGAUUCACUUUCUUGUUUUCAAGAAAAUCAAGAAAUCGAAUCUUGGCCCAAUUUUGCUGUUCGAAGAGAUUUCAAGAAUCAAGAAAAUCAAGAUUUCAAAUCUUGGAAAUCUUGGUCCAAGAAACCAAAUCUUGCAGCCAAAACGCAUUGGAUCUCCAUUACGAGCGUCAACGACCCAAUUUUGGUAGGAGAUGGAUCACGAGCCCAAAUUCUUGAAGGCGAGGCCCAAUAACCAAAAUCCAGCCCAAUCAAGAAAUUUCUUCAUACUUAGUUGAAAAUUAGGCCAAAAUGUCAAUGGGCCCAAUUUGUAAACAUCUUACUUGUUUAAUUUAAUUUUUUAAUCUUUAGGAGCAUUACAUGUAAAAUUCGGCCCAAAACAGCCCAUAUAAGUGCAUGGCCGAAUUUACCUUGUUAUUUUAUUAAUUAGGUUUAAUUUUUUAUUAGUUACUUGUGAGAUUAGGAUUUGUUGGAGGCCUAUAUAAGCAUUGGCCAGCCACCCUUUGUAAAAACAUCUUAUUAUUAUUUUUUCUAUCAAAUUUCAAAUUUGUUGAGUGCAGAAUUUUCUUUGGGGUUUUCUCCAAGAACUCUCUCUUGAGUUUUCUUUAGAAGUUGUUUUAACAAUCUUUUGAUUGUGGGAGCCAUCUUCAACCUUCUUCUUGCCAUCGAUAUUCUUUGGAGGGGAGAUUAGAGCCGUUUGAAGAGAUUUGUGAAAUCUUUUGGGAUUUCAAGGAUCUUUAGGACUUAUCCUUUAAUUCUUGCUGUUUUCGAUUUCUUUCUUUACUUUUCUUUGCUUAUACGGUUACCCAAUCAAAUGAAUUUUUUUCGAAUAAUUUUUCUGGGUAAAACUGCUGUUUGUGCUUUAAAAAAUAGAGAUCAGUUUAGAAAUCAACCAAGAACACCCAAAACACCCAAAAUCUGAUACCAAAUGAUAUAGAAGCCUGCGCGCGGACCAAGAUCGAGUUGCCAAGUCACGAGGAAACUCCUACGAAAGAUCCUAGACGAACAGAUCUGAAAUCAAAAACAAAGAUUAAGAUUAAACCAAAUCAGAUUUGAAUUUAAAAUUCCCAAAUUCAAUUAAAAGAGCAGCAAGAAGAAAAGAAAUAGAAUCGAUGAAUCAAACGAAAUUGAGAAGAAAGAAAAGAUGCGAAUCUGCCAAGGAAUUGAUUCGGCCAAGAAUGCCCAAUUUCUUGGCACUGUGAUAGAAUAUAAAAAAAUUCAUCCCGCAAAAAUAUCAGUCAAAAAGUCAAAAAAAUCAAAAAAUACGAAAUUCAAUAAAAAUUUUAAAAAAGAUUCAGCCGGUUGAAUUUGGUGCCCAAACUCUCCAGAUAAAAAAUUAAAUAUAUAAGGACACUCCAGAUUUAAUUUCGUGAUUUUUGGAGAUCAGGAACACCUCGAACGAAGUUGUCAAGUUACUCAGCAGUUUUUUGGGUUUUUCUGUUUUCAGCAAUUUUUAUUGAUUCUUAGCUGUAGGUUUUCAUUUGUUUACCUUUAUUCUUCCUUUACGUUAUCUAACACCUUCUUGUUUCUUGUGUUAGUAGGAUUUAAACGUGUGCACAACUUCUUCCUCGGUGCAACACGAAUCAAUUGGUGUCUCGUCAGUUUUUGGCAUCCUAGUGCAAAUUAGGAUUCUUUGGUAGUUUGGUUCACACUCUCUAAUUGUGAUACGCCCCGGCUCGGGAAGGAGAGUCGAGUCGUAGAUGUGCCCGAUCGUGAAUUAGAGUAAUACUCGAGGGUGGACGAAAUAGGUUAAGAAAGAAGAGAUAAAGGCUCAAAUUUAGUUCAAAAGGGGUUAUGAAAUGUAUUGAGGAUGAUAGGUGAAUGAAAACCAAGUAUUCAAGUUGAACCAACACAAUAUAAGUGUGUUAACCCGGGACUUAUACGAAUACUUAGGAAAGGUUAAAUGUUGUAUGGAUGGAAAACGAAUAAAAUGGAACCUUGACCCACUAUCAAAGAUGAUAGGAACCUCGGUAUAACUUGAACGCCACACUUUGGGUGCAAAGUGAUAAGUUCGAAAUACAAAAACGGGUUGACACCACAAGGGUUACUUGAUAAGUCUAACCAGUCCUUGGAGAACAAUGAGAGUUGAAAACAAACUCACAAAGUAAACAAAUUUCAUAUAAGUUUUAAAAAUAUAUUGUCUAACCCGAAAAUGAUUACAAAGCAACUAUUUAUAGCUAAUAUUGAAUGUCAAACCGAAUGGUCACAAAAGGUAGAUAAAUGGACAGUUUUAGUUUAGCUUAAUUAAGUUGAAAUUGCUUGGAAGCUUCCUUAAUCGUCCCUUGUAGUUUCCUAGGUCACUUGGCUUAGAAAUCUGAAAAGAAAUAACUUCUAGAAUGAGAGGAUUCGGCUGGACAUUGAUGGAGAACUUUAUGGACUAGUCCCGAUUCGGCCUUGAUACUUUAAAAUGGCUUUAAAAGCUUCUUUGGGUAGUGUAAAGUUCGGCCUUGAAGAGAGGAAACGCCAAGCAUGAUGUUGGCCGAAUGGCUACUUGGAAAAACCAACCAACAGCCCUUUGUUGUUCACGAAAAUAGCACCUGCUUCAGCAGCUCAUUAAUGGACGAAUCUUGCAUGCCCAACAGCACCUUAAAUGCAUGCCUAUGCUUUACAUUAAAUUCGGCCAACACCUCCUUUAUUGCUGCUCAUUUAAUUCAUGUCUUUGCUUCCCUUUAAAUGCCGUUCCUUGCAUGUAGAACAACAACUUAAAUGCAUGUCUCCUUUGCCAUUAAGUAGUUGUUUCCAGCUGAAUUAAUUACCUGCAGACACAAAAUAAAUUCGGUCAAGACAUAAAUUAAACCUCAUUAAAUUCGG
RNAcentral lists this long non-coding RNA (66603 nucleotides) under Gossypium barbadense (sea-island cotton). RNAcentral's name for it is "long non-coding RNA (GBAR_LNC015519)". Lineage: Eukaryota; Viridiplantae; Streptophyta; Magnoliopsida; Malvales; Malvaceae. The record is from RNAcentral.